GUUUUUUUUUCUACUUUUAAAUGACUAAGUGCUUUAAUUUUAGGGUUUAUUUUUAGUUUUAUAUUGUAUCUAAAACGGUACCAUUUAGGGCCUGUUUCAGUAGCUCCAAAAUGGUGUCGUAUAAGGUGACCUAAUUCAACCCGUCCUGGUACCUAUGAGGAUCUGCACGUUUUGCUUAAAGGGGAUAUCUGCACGUUUAGUCCCUUUCUUAUGCGCAGUCCUAUGAUUGGGCCCUACUCCAAUUUUCUUAUUCUUAUUUUGUCACUGAAAGUUGAGCAUUGUUUCAAAUUAGUCCGCGUUUAAACACUGCGUUUCGGAGAUUUGGGGCAUUUGCAUUUUUAAUCCUCGUGUGUUUUCAGGCACUUCAUUUUAAUCCUUGAUUUUGUUUAAUAACUUUAUUUGUUUGUAAAUCAUUCCUUUGAUUUUGGUUUUUACUUCAAUUGAGUCUUUUUUUUAGUUUAUGUGUUUUAUUCUCUAUAAUUUAUUCAUUAUUUAUCGUUAAAAGAAUUUGUUUUAACAUUUUUAUUUUUUUUGUUUGAUCUCGCAUAGUUUUAGUGUUUUUGUUACUUACUUUUGUAUAUUUUUAUAUUGUUUUUCAAUUUUACUUAUUUUAGAUUCUUUUUUAUAUUUCUAUGUUUUAAAAAUUUAUGUGAUAUUUAAUUUAAAUAUUUUUAUACAUUUUAUAUAUUUACACAUAAUUUAGCUUAAAAUUAUUUUCUUAUUCUAUAUAUAUAUUAUUGAUGUUAUAUUCUUUUAUGUAUAUAUUUUCUUUAAAAAUCUACUUAUAUAUAAUUUAUUUCCUAUAAAGACCCUAUUUUAUCAUAUAUUUUUGUUUAUUUCAAAUACUUUUAUACAUUUGUAUUUUCAUGUAUCAAUUAUUUGUAUUAAUUUUUUAUUUUACGUAUAUUAUUUAUGUAGAUUGACAUAUGUCUUAUUUUGUAUAUUACUUACCUUAUAAUAUUCAUUUUAAAAUUCAUUUGUAUAUUACUAUUUAAUAUAUUAUUUAUUUUUACCUUUUUUCCUAUUUUAAACUUUUAUAUCUAUUACUUGUUUUAAAAUUUUUUAUACUGUUUGUAUAGUGAUGUUUUCAAAUUUUCUUCCUUUCAUAUUAUUCAUUUUAUUUUAUUUUACAACUUGUUGUAUUUCAUUUGUGUAAUUUGCUUGGAAUUUCUUUUAAAUUGGCUUUUAAUUCAUUAGCCUUCAGUUAUUAAUAUUAGUAUUUUUAUAGUAUAUGAUGGGUUGCCAUUGCAUGUACCCUAAUUUGCUCAUUUGUGUUUUAUUAUUAUUUUUUAUCAUUCAUGUAAUAUUAUUACCAGGUAUUUUUAUUUCAUGCUCGAUACUAUGCUUGUAUGUUUCUUAUUAUUACAUCAGGUUUUAAAUUCCAAUUUUCACCCAAUAUCGAUUGCCUUUUAUCCUUAAGUAAACUAAACGAAUAUAUUUUGAGUCGGUUUUAUAAUCGCUUAUUCGAAAACUUCUCAAAAUAAUGCAAUAUUUCGUGUUUGGAAAUUCAAGAAAUCAUACCCUAACGAGCUGGUUUCGAUUUUUCGUUUGACUAAAUAACCAAGUAUCCUUCUAAAAUUUCACUCGUGCUUUCUUAAAUUAAAAAAUAAGGCAAUAUUUUGUGUUUGGAAAUUCGGGAAAUAGUGCCCUAAUGUGCUGGGUGUCGAUUUUCUGUUUGACCAAAUAACUGAAUAUCCUUUUUUUUAGGCAUGAGUUUUGUAAAGCCUGAGAGGAUCUUGGUUUCAAAGGUUUAAAAUGUCGCAUCCUAACGUAUUGGAUGUGAUAUUUUGUUCUUUCAGAACAGGAGAAUCUUAAAAUCCAACUCGAUUUGUUCAUACAUUUUUAAAAGGAUCAUAUUUUAACAUUUUUUUAAAUUUUCAAUGUUAGGACAUUAAUUAAUCAAUUGGUACCAAUUUUGGGUGUUGCGAGGGUGCUAAUCCUUCCUCAUACGUAACCAACUCCCGAACCCAUUUUCUAUAAUUUCGUAGGCCAAAAUCAAUAUUUUAAAUAAAACAAAGUGUUUUAUAAGGUGAUCCAAUCACACCUAAAAAAAGGAUUGGUGGCGACUCUAUUUUCGUUUUUAAAGUUGAUCCCCGUUUUUCAAAAUAAAAAAAUGGUUUUGAUAGCUUGGCGACUCCACUGGGGACAAUAAGAGAGUCAAGCCGUAAAAUUGAAUUCUUUCUGUCCGUUUGUCGAAAAUCGAAAAUUUGAUUUAAAAAAUCAUGGUUCUUUUGUCGUAUUUGUUUUGUGUUAAGUCAUGUCUUUGUUGUGAUUUGAGUCUCGUAGGAUAUUCCUGCAUCAUAUUGCAUGACCGUUGUGGUUACCCUUUUUAAGUGGGAGUGAGAAACUAUUUCCUUCGUGAGGUUUUCACCUCCGUGCAGGAUAGUGGAUCGCUUUCGGGAUACAUCUGUACCUAUUUCUUCGUGAGGUUUUCACCUUCGUGCAGCCAUAAGGAAAUGUAUUCCCCUGAACUGAACUCGGUCCAUAUGAGCCUUUAAUGGGUGAGGAUCAGGGAAUCUGCUGGUUCAGGUACCCUUUCUUUAGAACAGAACUGCAUAUAGUAAGACCAUAAAAGCCCGCCCUAGGUAGAGCCACGUCGAACCAUUAGUGGUCAUCCGAAUAGAUGCUCUAUUAUUCUUUGCUUACUUUGAAUUCUAGUUUUUUAUACUGACUUGUUUUGUUUGCUUUGAUUGUGAUUGCAUGACAUUUUCAUCAUAAAAAAAGGGUGUCGAUUCACGUUCAGUUACUAACUAGAGAACUUGCAACAUAGAACAAUUUUCUUGAUAAAGUAGAGGAUGGUAUGGUCGUCCGUGUAUGGUCAAAGAAAACGCAAUUAGAAAAGGGUGAUAGCUUAGCAGAGGGGUACGUAUCAGAAUUAUUGGACUUCACCCGUAUCAGCGUGUCACAAAAUGAUCUCCGGGAAUUGAAGGAGAUAUGGGUCAAUUGGAACGAUGAGGUUAAGUAGCUAUUUUACAGUAAUUAUGGUGACAUGCCCUAUCUACUCGACAUCAGGGUGGAUAAGUACCUGCUUCGAGUUUUGGCUCAAUUUUGGAAUCCUUCCUACAAUUGCUUUACCUUUAGGAAUAUGGAUUUGGGGCCUACGGUAGAGGAGUAUAUAGUCUUGCUUCGUUGUCCAAAGUUUAAAGUUGACAAGGCCUAUUCCAGAGCCACUAAUGUCCCGACUUUCAUUAAGAAAUUGAUAAAUAUCACGAGAAUGAGUGAAUAGUGGGUUGCGGCUCGUAUCAAGCAAAAAGGAGGAAUGAAAUGUAUUCCCUGGCAAAUUUUGCGAGAUUUGAUUUUGGCGUACCCAGAUGUGAAGAAAAGGGUUGAUGUGUUUGCUUUAAGCAUUUACGGGUUAAUUGUUUUCCCAAAAGCACUAGGGUAUGUAGAUGAGGCGGUCUCGGAUCUCUUCGACUGACUAGACAAAGGGGUCACACCUAUUCCUGUGAUCUUGGCCAAGACGUUUAGAUCUUUGAAUACAUGCAAGAGAGUCGGCGAGGGUAGAUUUAUAGGGUGUACGCAAUUAUUGUUAGCUUGGUUCCACAACCAUUUUUGGAAGGUGGAUAAAGUUUCUUAUCAAGUUUUCUCCUAGAAUUACUCCCCGUUAAAGGAGAUAGCAGCCACGCCCAGGAAAGAUGACAUAUCAGAAGAAAAUUGGAUCACGCUCCUUCGAAAUCUUCAGGAAGAGGACGUUGAGUGGAGAGCUCCUUGGAUGGUUCUCUAUGAGAUUCUUUACCGAUGCGGGAGUUUUGACUGGGUUCCUCUGUUUGGGAUUUGGGGAGUCAUCGGGUAUGCUCCUUUACUAGUUUUGAGGCCGUACAGAUCAAGACAAUUCAUACCGACAACCCAGGGGCUAGCUUAGUGCAAGUUUUCAUAUAAGGGGGAUAACUACAAGAAAAAGGUCUGAAAAAUGUCUAAUGCUUGGAAACAGACUCGCCGACUAAAAAGAUUUGUUGUAGGUCUGAUGACGACCCCUAAAUAUAAUGGGAGGUGGAGUAAAAGGGUCAAUAACAACAUCCCCGGGCAAAGUCAAUAAGGUGCGCGGCCAAUGGAAGAAUAUCUGCAAGUGGUCCCAUUCGAGCUAGAGAUCAUAAAGCAGGAUUUUGAGAAAUGAAAUGCAGAGCUAGGAAAGAAAAUAGAGCAGAUGGAAGAGGAAAAGAUGCAUUUGAGGCUGGAGGUCGAUGUUCAGAAAUUAGAGUUCGAGAAGUUGAGAAAAAGAAAAAGGAAGUCUGAAGAGGACUUGGAUAGUUUGAAGACUGAUUACAAGAAGUUGCGUAUGUCGAGGAGAACUGUCAGAUUGGGAAAGACAUCAGAACAGUGUUAACAAGAGAUCUAAGAAGAAAAAGCUAGAGCUAAUCAGUGGGAGAAGAGGUUCCAUGAUACUCGAGUGCGAGAAAAUGCUUUCAAAAAGAGCUUGGUUGAGAGCCAAAAUGAGAAGGAAAUGUUAGUAGCUCGAGUAGCAGAGUUAGGCACUACAUUAGCAUUGUGGUUGUAACUCCGACAUUGAAUUAAGGGCCAGCCUGAGCAGGAUUGUAACACCCCGAACCCGAGUCCGACACCGGAGUCGAACACGAGGUGUUAACAAACUUUGAAAAAUUUCCAGACACUGCCCAAUCUGUGUACUAGUCGCUUUAAAAAUCAUAUCUUGAGCUUCACAACUCGAAAAUCAGUUUCGUGAUUUUUCCCUGAAACUAGACUCAUAUUCCCAUCUACAUAUUUUUUUCUAGAAUUUUUGGUUGGGCCAAUUAGUACAGUUUAUUAGUCAAAGUCUCCCAUGUUACAGGGAUCGACUACCCUGAUCUUUGCGCAUUACGACUUGGAUAUCUCCUUGUACAGGGCUCCAAUACUGAUGCCGUUUGUUUCUAUAGAAACUAGACUCAGAGAGGAAUCUAUACAUAUAUGGUAUGACUCCUAAUUAUCUCUGGUUAAUUUAUAAUGAAUUUCCAAAGUCGGAACAGGGAAUCCAGAAACCGUUCUGGCCCUGUAUCACGAGAACCUGAAUAUCUCUUAACAUACUGUCCGUAUGAUUGUUUCGUUACUUUCAUAUGAAAGUAGAUUCAUCAAGGUUCGAUUACAUAUUUUAUUCACUAUUUAAUUCCACUCCUACGAAUUCUUGUGAUUUUUCCAAUCCACACCACUGCUGCUGUCAGCCUCUGUUUUCAGAGUAAACCUUACCUAUUUUCGGGGUUUCAUGGACCAACUAGGGCCUUGUCAUACAUAUGCCCACAUAUGAUCAUACUUAGCCAUUCCAAUGGCUGAUCAUUUUCUCAACACUUCCAUUCCAACUAUAGUUACAUCAUGAAACCAUCUAUACAUUCAUAAACACGAAUGGUCUAAUGCCAUAUUCCACUUCUACAAGCCAUUUUCGCAUGGCUGUACACUUAUACAUUUCAUAAAGUACUCGAAAAACAACAAUGGGUAGUCCUAUACAUGCCAUAUCAAAAUUCAACCAAAAUAGUACCCAAAAGAGCCUUUGAUAGUGUGGGCGACUUCGACUUCAAGAUCCCGAGUCCGAUAGCUGGAGAACCAAAAAUCUAUAAAACAGAGGAGCAGUGUAACGAGUAAGCAAUUUAUGCUUAGUAAGUUUUGAGCAAGGAAUUCCAGCAUAAACAAAGUAUAACACACAUUUAGCUAAACGGAAUAUUUCAUAAUACGCAAUUUACCGAUAUCAAACUUGCUUCACAACAUAAACAACCAUUAUGUACAUACACAAUAGACUAACUUAGCCGAAGGCCGGUAGCUCGUUUAUCAACUGAGCGAACAUUUAUUUGUACGGGCUCGACUAAAUUCAACACAUACGUAACAUAUCCCCAUAUUGGGAUGUUUUUCGUGUAUUCGCUGGAAUUUUACAGCAAGCUCAUUCAUUACCAAAUCACAUACCUUCGGGAUUUAACCGGAUAUAGCUCCUCGUUCAAAUGCCUUCGGGACAUAGCCCGGUUUUAGUAACCCACACAAUGCCUUCGGGACUUAACCCGGAUUUAAUAACUCGCACGAAUGCCUUCGGGACUUAACCCGGAUUUAGUAUCUCGCACAAAGGCCUUCGGGGCUUAACCCGGAACUUGUAUCUCGCACAAAUGCCUUCGGAUCUUAGUCCGGAUAUAUUCACUUAGCACAAAGCCUUCGGGACUUAGCCCGGACAGCAUUCAAUUAAUCAUGCACAUCUAACAAUAAUUCAUGGCACAUUCGUAUUUCUUUUUCAUUAGCAAAACUCAAACACAAGGCACAUACCAUCCUUGCACAUUCGGCUCAAUAGCCACACAUAGAGCAUGAUUUUAAUUUGCUUAAAACAUGAUUUAAUCACAUCGUAAUUUAAGCUCUCUUACUCAAGAACUUACCUCGGGUGUUGUCGAACGAUUCCGCUAACUAUUCGACCACUUUUUCCUUCCCUUUAUCGGAUUUAUUUCCCCUUUGCUCUUGAGCUUAGCCUAGCUACAUGCAUGGCCGAAUCUCUUCACCUUUCUUCUUCUUUCCUCCUUAAAAUUUUUGGCCAAGGAUGAACCAAAGGAUGAGAAAUUUUUUUCUUUGUUUUUCUUUCUAAUUUAGGCUAAAUGAAGGUGAGAAAAGGAUGAACAAAGAUCUUCUCCUCUCUUUUUUUUUAGCUCACGGCCAUGGGGGGGGGGGAAAAGAAUCAACUACACACUUUUUUUUUUGUGUAUUCAUCAUGCUCCUUUUCAUUAUUUAAUUUCCAUGCCUAUUAUUUUAUUUUUUUCCUACAUACCUCACUAGGCCAACAUGUUCCCAACAUGUUUCCACCCAUAGCAUGGCCAACCACUAGCUCAAAUUUUGGGUAAUUUGACAUGCAAACCCAUCAUUUUCACAACAUGCAUUAAUAGACCAUUUUAAAUUAGCCUAUCAUAUUUUCACCAUGUCUCAUAUCAAUCCCUAUUUAAUAAUUUCUCAUGCAAUUGGCAAAAUUGGAGAAUGAAACUUCCACAUACUCAUGUACACACAUAAUAAGCAUAGAAUAUGGAAAUCAAUUAUUUUUAUGACUCGGUUUUGUGGUCCCGAAACCACUUCCCGACUAGGGUCAAUUUUGGGCUGUCACAACUCUCCCCCACUUAAGAAAUUUUCGUCCCCGAAAAUCUUACCGGUAAAUAGGUUUGGGUAUCGUUCUUUCAUCGAGCUCUCGGUUUCCCAAGUAGCUUCCUCGAUCCCGUGUUUGAGCCAUAACACCUUCACUAACGAAACCCUUUUGUUUCGCAACUCCUUCACUUCACGAGCUAGGAUACGCAUCGGUUCUUCUUCAUAGCUCAUGUCGACUUGAAUUUCAACCUCUGAUGGGCUAAUUAUGUGCGAUGGAUCAGAUCGAUAGCGUCGAAGCAUCGAAACGUGAAAGACGUCAUGAAUCUUUUCAAGCUCCGGGGGCAAAAUCAAUCUAUACGCAACCGGACCAACUCGUUCGGAGAUUUCGUACGGCCCAAUGAAUCUUGGGCUCAACUUGCCCUUACGGCCGAACCUGAGUAUCUUUUUCCAAGGUGAAACCUUAAGGAACACUUUGUCUCCCACCUGAUACUCGAUGUCUUUUCGUUUCAAAUCUGCGUACGACUUCUGACGAUCCGUGGCUACCUUCAGACUUUCACGGAUUACCUUUACUUUCUGUUCAGCAUCUUUAACCAAAUCAACUCCGAAAAUUUUACUUUCACCGAGCUCGGUCCAAAACAAUGGUGUACGGUAUUUACGACCGUACAAAGCCUCGUAAGGUGCCAUCUUAAUACUUGAUUGAAAACUAUUGUUGUAAGUGAAUUCAAUCAAAGGUAAAUACCGUUCCCAUGAACUACUGAACUCGAGGAUGCAACAUCUCAACAUAUCCUCAAGUAUCUGAAUUAUCCGCUCGGAUUGACCAUCGGUUUGAGGGUGAAAAGCAGUGCUAAAAUGCAGCUUGGUACCCAGAGCUUCUUGCAAUUUCUUCCAAAAUCGUGAGGUGAAUCUCGGAUCUCUAUCCGACACGAUAGAAACAGGUACCCCGUGUAAUCUCACAAUUUGAUAAACGUACAAUUCAGCUAGUUUAUCCAAUGAAAAAUCCGUACGUACGGGGAUGAAAUGAGCCGACUUAGUCAGUCUAUCAACAACAACCCAUAUCGCAUCCUUCUUACUUGCUGACAAGGGCAGUCCGGACACAAAGUCCAUUGUGACUCGAUCCCAUUUCCACUCGGGUAUCAUGAUCGGCUGGAGUAAUCCUGAAGGCACUUGAUGUUCCGCUUUCACUUGUUGACAUAUUAAACAUCUCGAAACAAAGUCGGAGAUGUCCCGUUUCAUACCAUGCCACCAAAAUUGACGUUUCAAAUCGUUGUACAUUUUCGUACUCCCCGGGUGAAUUGACAUUCGGCUACAAUGGGCUUCGUUCAGAAUCAUCGAAAUGAGUUCCGAAUUUCUUGGAACACACAAACGAUUUCUGAACCUCAAACAAUCACCAUCAUCAAUUUGAAACUCCGAUUCCUCGUUCGGAACACACUUAGCCUGUUUUUCAACCAAUUCAUCAUCGACUUUCUGAGCUUCACGAAUUUGGUGAGUCAAUAAUGGUUUAGCUUUUAAUUCAGCUACUAACACAUUGUCUGGUAGAACAGACAAAUGCACAUUCAUCGCUCGUAAAGCAAACAAUGACUUCCGGCUUAAGGCGUCCGCAACCACGUUAGCCUUUCCCGGGUGGUAAUCAAUGACAAGCUCGUAAUCUUUCAACAACUCAAGCCAAUGUCUUUGUCGCAGAUUCAAGUCUCGUUGAGUCAUCAAAUAUUUGAGACUUUUGUGAUCCGAAAAUACAUGGCACUUCUCACCAAACAGAUAAUGUCGCCAUAUUUUUAAAGCAAACACGAUGGCAGCUAGUUCGAGAUCAUGGGUCGGAUAAUUCCUCUCGUGUGGCUUCAAUUGUCUCGACGCAUAGGCCACGACUCGACCUUCUUACAUCAAUACGCAACCCAACCCAAGUAGGGAUGCGUCACUAUAAAUGACAAACUCUUUACCUGAUUCGGGUUGCACCAAAAUUGGAGCUUCAGUCAAAUGAGUUUUCAGUUGGUCGAAACUUUUCUGACAUUUCUCCGUCCACUCGAACUUAACAUCCUUUUGAAGUAGCUUCGUCAUUGGUGUGGCUAUCAUCGAGAAACCUUUCACAAAUCGUCGGUAAUAACCGGCGAGCCCCAAAAAGCUCCGAACUUCAGUAAUAUUUCUCGGAGGUUUCCAGUCAAGUAUGGCUGAAAUUUUGUUCGGGUCAACACGAAUACCUGACGCGGAUACCACAUGACCCAAGAAGCUAACCUCUCUUAACCAGAACUCACACUUACUGAACUUAGCAUAUAACUGCUUAUCCCGCAAAAUUUGCAGCACUAGCCUCAGAUGCUCAGCAUGUUCGGUCUCAUCUCUUGAAUAGACUAAAAUGUCAUCAAUGAACACAACUACGAACCGAUCCAAAUACGAUCUGAAGAUCCGAUUCAUCAAAUCCAUAAAUACCGCAGGGGCAUUAGUGAGCCCAAACGGCAUCACUAAGAAUUCGUAGUGACCAUAUCUCGUUCUGAAGGCAGUUUUGGGAAUAUCUGAAUCUCGAAUUCGCAACUGAUAAUAGCCCGAUCUCAAAUCUAUUUUUGAGAACACUGAGGCUCCCUUCAGUUGGCCGAACAAAUCAUCGAUGCGCGGCAACGGAUAUUUGUUCUUUAUCGUCACUUUAUUCAGCUGACGAUAGUCAAUGCACAACCUCAUGGUUCCGUCCUUCUUUUUCACGAACAAUACUGGUGCACCCCAAGGUGAAAAACUUGGUCGAGCGAAACCUCUAUCCGUCAGUUCUUGCAACUGAGCUUUCAACUCCUUUAACUCAGUUGGUGCCAUACGAUACGGAGCUAUCGAAAUCGGCGUAGUCCCAGGUACAAGCUCAAUACCAAACUCUACCUCCCGAACAGGUGGUAAACCCGGUAAUUCUUCCGGAAAAACAUCCGGGUAUUCACAAGCCACCGGCACAGAUUCGGGUUUCUUUUCUAAUUCUUUGUCAUCAAGUACAUACGCAAGGUAUGCUUCGCACCCUUUUCUUACAUAUUUCUGUGCCAACAUUGUUGAUAUUACAGCUGGCAUCCCCUCCAAGUCCGCAGACUCAAUUCGGAUUACUUCGUUAUUUGCGCACCUCAAAUCAAUAGUCUUGCUCUUGCAAUUCACAACCGCAUCAUGCGCGGUCAACCAAUCCAAACCAAGGAUAACAUCAAAUUCAUCAAACGGCAAAAGCAUCAAGUCCGCCGGAAAACAGGAACCUCGAAUUUCCAGGGGACAUUUCUUACACACUUUGUCGACAAGCACGUAACGACCCAAGGGAUUUGACACCCGAAUUACGAACUCAGUAGACUCAAUAGGUAAAGUCUUACUGGAUGCUAAGGUUUCACAUAUGUAAGAAUGAGUAGAACCGGGGUCAAUCAAAGCAAUUACAUUAGUAUCAAAGAGAGUGAAUGUACCGGUAAUAACAUCAGGCGAAGAAGCAUCCUCGCGGGCACGUAUAGCAUAAGCUCUAGCAGGCGCACGAGCUUCGGAUCUGGUUAUAUCAUCUCUAGAUCCUCUCUGACCACCACCAUCAUUGCCCGCAUUUCCAGAUGGUCUACCCCGAGCAGUGGUAGCACCCGGUCUCCCACUCUGAUUUGCAUUCUGUCCCGACAACCUCGGGCAAUCUUUAAUGAAGUGGUCAACUGAUCCGCAUUUGUAACAGGAGCGGUCAGGGAAUCUACAACUCCCCGAAUGCCAUUUACCGCAAUAUCGGCAUUUCGUUCUGUCUCGACGUUCAUUCCCAACACUGGCGACUGAAGUGCCUCGUGUACCCACUGGGGGUCGAUCACGAUCUCGUCUAAAAAGGCCCGAAGUGCCUCUAAACUGGCCCGCAUCAUCUCGAAAUUUCUUCGAUGCCUGUUGAAGAGACUUUCCCGAGGAUCUUUUACGAAACUCUCCAGUUCCCUCAUCAACUUUUUGUUUUUCUUUUCUAAGCUCUUCGGCUUUACAAGCUCGCUCGACAAGUACUACGAACUCUCGUAUUUCAAGAACGCCAACGAACAUUUUUAUAUCUUCAUUCAGCCCAUCCUCGAAGCGUUUACACAUAAUAGCCUCGGACGAAACACAUUCCCGAGCAUAUUUGCUAAGUCUAACAAAUUUUCGCUCGUAAUCAAUAACCGACAUGGAACCUUGCUUAAGCUCAAGAAAUUCCUUCCGUUUUUUAUCAACAAAUCUCUGACUGAUAUACUUUUUCCGAAACUCAGUUUGGAAAAACUCCCAAGUUAUUUGCUCUCGGGGCACAACAGAAGUCAGAGUACUCCACCAAUAGUAGGCAGAAUCGCGUAGCAAGGAGAUAGUACACUUUAGGCAUUCAUCGGGUGUACAAGAUAGCUCAUCGAGUACCCGGAUAGUGUUGUCCAACCAAAAUUCAGCUUGCUCGGCAUCGUCGCUAUCCGUAGCUUUAAAUUCAGUAGCCCCAUGUUUUCGGAUUCUAUCAACUGGGGGCUUAUUUGACCUUAUUUGGUCAGUUACCGGAGGUAUUGUAGGUGCGGGGGUAGUAUUUGUCGGGAAUGGAGGUUGUGGAACAGCCGUAUUAGUUCGAAUGUAUUGGUUGAACCAAUCAUUCAUCACGCUAUAGAAUGCUUGUUUAGCUUCAUCAUUCGGAUUACUAGCAUUAGGUUGAGAGUCCGCCGGCGCUGUCCCUUGUGCGGGAGCAGGCGCUACACUCUCAAGAUCAUCAGCUACCUCUCGGUUGGGAUCGGGAUCCAUUACUAUAAAUAAACACAUUUAUAAUUGUCAGAAAUCACCACACUAUCAAGUAAUCACAUAAAAUGGCAUGUAUAGCUAGACCCAACACAUUACGGUAGUCCUAGAAUCGACUAAACCGUAGCUCUGAUACCAAUAAAAUGUAACACCCCGAACCCGAGUCCGACACCGGAGUCGAACACGAGGUGUUAACAAACUUUGAAAAAUUUCCAGACACUGCCCAAUCUGUGUACUAGUCGCUUUAAAAAUCAUAUCUUGAGCUUCACAACUCGAAAAUCAGUUUCGUGAUUUUUCCCUGAAACUAGACUCAUAUUCCCAUCUACAUAUUUUUUUCUAGAAUUUUUGGUUGGGCCAAUUAGUACAGUUUAUUAGUCAAAGUCUCCCAUGUUACAGGGAUCGACUACCCUGAUCUUUGCGCAUUACGACUUGGAUAUCUCCUUGUACAGGGCUCCAAUACUGAUGCCGUUUGUUUCUAUAGAAACUAGACUCAGAGAGGAAUCUAUACAUAUAUGGUAUGACUCCUAAUUAUCUCUGGUUAAUUUAUAAUGAAUUUCCAAAGUCGGAACAGGGAAUCCAGAAACCGUUCUGGCCCUGUAUCACGAGAACCUGAAUAUCUCUUAACAUACUGUCCGUAUGAUUGUUUCGUUACUUUCAUAUGAAAGUAGAUUCAUCAAGGUUCGAUUACAUAUUUUAUUCACUAUUUAAUUCCACUCCUACGAAUUCUUGUGAUUUUUCCAAUCCACACCACUGCUGCUGUCAGCCUCUGUUUUCAGAGUAAACCUUACCUAUUUUCGGGGUUUCAUGGACCAACUAGGGCCUUGUCAUACAUAUGCCCACAUAUGAUCAUACUUAGCCAUUCCAAUGGCUGAUCAUUUUCUCAACACUUCCAUUCCAACUAUAGUUACAUCAUGAAACCAUCUAUACAUUCAUAAACACGAAUGGUCUAAUGCCAUAUUCCACUUCUACAAGCCAUUUUCGCAUGGCUGUACACUUAUACAUUUCAUAAAGUACUCGAAAAACAACAAUGGGUAGUCCUAUACAUGCCAUAUCAAAAUUCAACCAAAAUAGUACCCAAAAGAGCCUUUGAUAGUGUGGGCGACUUCGACUUCAAGAUCCCGAGUCCGAUAGCUGGAGAACCAAAAAUCUAUAAAACAGAGGAGCAGUGUAACGAGUAAGCAAUUUAUGCUUAGUAAGUUUUGAGCAAGGAAUUCCAGCAUAAACAAAGUAUAACACACAUUUAGCUAAACGGAAUAUUUCAUAAUACGCAAUUUACCGAUAUCAAACUUGCUUCACAACAUAAACAACCAUUAUGUACAUACACAAUAGACUAACGUAGCCGAAGGCCGGUAGCUCGUUUAUCAACUGAGCGAACAUUUAUUUGUACGGGCUCGACUAAAUUCAACACAUACGUAACAUAUCCCCAUAUUGGGAUGUUUUUCGUGUAUUCGCUGGAAUUUUACAGCAAGCUCAUUCAUUACCAAAUCACAUACCUUCGGGAUUUAACCGGAUAUAGCUCCUCGUUCAAAUGCCUUCGGGACAUAGCCCGGUUUUAGUAACCCACACAAUGCCUUCGGGACUUAACCCGGAUUUAAUAACUCGCACGAAUGCCUUCGGGACUUAACCCGGAUUUAGUAUCUCGCACAAAGGCCUUCGGGGCUUAACCCGGAACUUGUAUCUCGCACAAAUGCCUUCGGAUCUUAGUCCGGAUAUAUUCACUUAGCACAAAGCCUUCGGGACUUAGCCCGGACAGCAUUCAAUUAAUCAUGCACAUCUAACAAUAAUUCAUGGCACAUUCGUAUUUCUUUUUCAUUAGCAAAACUCAAACACAAGGCACAUACCAUCCUUGCACAUUCGGCUCAAUAGCCACACAUAGAGCAUGAUUUUAAUUUGCUUAAAACAUGAUUUAAUCACAUCGUAAUUUAAGCUCUCUUACUCAAGAACUUACCUCGGGUGUUGUCGAACGAUUCCGCUAACUAUUCGACCACUUUUUCCUUCCCUUUAUCGGAUUUAUUUCCCCUUUGCUCUUGAGCUUAGCCUAGCUACAUGCAUGGCCGAAUCUCUUCACCUUUCUUCUUCUUUCCUCCUUAAAAUUUUUGGCCAAGGAUGAACCAAAGGAUGAGAAAUUUUUUUCUUUGUUUUUCUUUCUAAUUUAGGCUAAAUGAAGGUGAGAAAAGGAUGAACAAAGAUCUUCUCCUCUCUUUUUUUUUAGCUCACGGCCAUGGGGGGGGGAAAAGAAUCAACUACACACUUUUUUUUUUGUGUAUUCAUCAUGCUCCUUUUCAUUAUUUAAUUUCCAUGCCUAUUAUUUUAUUUUUUUCCUACAUACCUCACUAGGCCAACAUGUUCCCAACAUGUUUCCACCCAUAGCAUGGCCAACCACUAGCUCAAAUUUUGGGUAAUUUGACAUGCAAACCCAUCAUUUUCACAACAUGCAUUAAUAGACCAUUUUAAAUUAGCCUAUCAUAUUUUCACCAUGUCUCAUAUCAAUCCCUAUUUAAUAAUUUCUCAUGCAAUUGGCAAAAUUGGAGAAUGAAACUUCCACAUACUCAUGUACACACAUAAUAAGCAUAGAAUAUGGAAAUCAAUUAUUUUUAUGACUCGGUUUUGUGGUCCCGAAACCACUUCCCGACUAGGGUCAAUUUUGGGCUGUCACAAGGAUUGAGGAUUUGAAAAGAAAGGUAGAAUAGCUCGAAAUGGCAUUGCAAAAAAGUGAACUCCAGGUGGAACUAUUGGAAACAAAUAAUGAGCGAUGGGAAGAACAGUUUCAUCGAUCUCAAGACCAGGUCAGGAAUAGAGAUUUAGUCAUGGGCGAAGCUGUGGCUCAGAUACGAGAAGUGGUUGAUCAUUUACAAAUCCUAGCGGUUCAAGGUGACGUGCUAAGUGUGAAAUAUGAGUUAGAGUCAGACCGGGGUCGUGAGCUGGCUUGGCUUCUUAAGAGGGUUAAAACUUUGAGCAUCAAGGCAAAGCCGUAUAUAUGAUCUGUUUUAUGUAAAGGAUUUUGUUUUCUAAUAAAGUCAUUCUAAAUGGAAUUGGAUCAGAAUCGACGCCUUUUUAGCUUUGCAUUCAUCUCAUGAAUUUGUAUUUAAUCGCAUCAUAUGCAUUAAAUUUCACAAAAAACCCUAAUUAAUUAGAAAUAGUAUUACAGUUACCCUGGAACAUCACUACUACACACAGAGAAAAACCAAAACUAUGGAUCAAAGGUUGGAAAAACUAGAACAAAUGCAGAAGGAAAUACAGGAUCAGUUGCAAGUAUAGAUGCAAGAACAGUUGGCCAAAAUCCAACAAGAUAUGAGGGAUCAGAUGCUGGAAUCUCAAAGGGAUAUGAUGAAUCAAUUAACUCGGUUACUGAUUAGAAGGACUGAAAAAGGGAAGAGCCUCAUGAUCCAUAUUGGGGAAGACAGCAAGGACCUUGCUUACCCUUUAGGUUUCACCCUAAUAAAUACCCAAUUACUACUAAAAAAGGUGUCUGUCAAUAUCAAACCCCAAUAUCAAACUGGUACUUCGACACCAAUAAAUUUCCCAACAUGCUCAAGUUCCAACCCCGAAGACAAUCAGGCAAACCCUGCAGUCCCUGACCUCGAUGAUGUAGCGGAAAUGGGAACAACAAGAGUAGAAUUCCCAAAGCAACUGGAAGACCGAUACAAAUGGCUAAAUUAGAAAUUUAAGGCGUUGAAAAGCACUGAUUAUCAUUGUGGAAUGGAUGCUAAGGAGUUAAGCCUGGUCCCAGAUUUGGUACUCCCUCUAAAGUUCAAAAUACCGGAGUUUGAAAAAUAUAAUGGGACUAGUUGCCCUGAGGCCCACAUUACAAUGUUCUGUCAGAGGAUGAUAGGAUAUGUUAACAACGAUCAGUUGUUAAUUCACUAUUUCCAGGACAGUUUGAAUGGGGCUGCGGCCAAAUGGUACAAUCAGCUGAAUCAUACCCAAGUUAAAUCAUGGAAGGACUUAGCACAGGCUUUCAUGAAGCAAUAUGGCCAUGUGACAAACAUAGUGCCUGACAGGAUCACGUUCGGAACAUGGAGAAAAAGUUAAGUGAAAGUUUUAGGCAAUAUGCUCAGAGGUGGAGAGAAGUUGCUACACAAGUCCAACCGCCACUGCUGGAAAAAGAAACAACCAUGCUCUUCAUUAAUACCUUGAAAGCACCUUUUAUUAUUCACAUGCCAAGGAGCGCAACUAAAAGUUUUGCGGACAUAGUGAUGUCCGGUGAAAUGAUAGAGAACGCGAUAAGAUGUGGAAAGAUAGAGGCUGGCGAAAGCACCAAGAAGUCGGCCUCGAUGAAAAGAGAAAAUGAAGUCAGCAAUGUGAGCACGGGUUAUGCAAAACCAAUCAUGGUAAACCAACCAAGAGCGGUAGCCAUGGGCCAACAAGCCUCCCCAAGAUAGGAGCCCAAUACAAUGCAAAACACGGAGAAGCCUCAAUUUACCCCCAUUCCAAUAAUGUAUCACGAGUUGUACAAAAGUCUAUUUGAUACACACGUUGUGUCUCUUUUCUACUUAAAACCGAUGCAACCCCCAUACCCCAAGUAGUACGACGUAAGUCCUCAAUGUGAAUACCAUGCGGGAACCACGGGACACUCGAUAAAGAACUACACCUCUUUCAAAAGGUUAGUCAAAAGGCUCAUCAAAAUGGGUGUUGUGAAAUUCGAUGAUGCACCUAGUGUAGGGAAUCCGUUACCCAAUCAUACUGAUAAUAGGGUAAAUGCAAUAGUUGAGAAUGUGGGGAAAAGAAUCAAGUUCAAUGUUAUGAAAGUGAAAACCCCGUUGAGAGAGGUUUGGAAGAAGAUGGUGGAAAGAAGGUUAAUCACGCAGGAUAUGGGGAAAAAUUUUGAGAUGUAAGAAAUUGUUGUGAGUUUCACAAUGAGGGAGAUCAUGAGAUUGAAAUAUGCAAUGAAUUCAGAGCCCUGGUGCAGGGUCUAAUAGACAACAAAGAGCUGGAGUUUUUUGAAUUUACCGAAUGAGAAGAUGUAUGCACCUCAGAGGGAGGGGCGAUAGAGAAGGUCUCUGAGGUCAAUCACCCAGUGGUGAUCAUCUCACGACCAAGAAUUAAUGAAGCUGUAGUAAAAAUGGCACAAGUGGCUUUUCCUUAUAAGGAUAGCAAAAGGGUGCCCUAGAAUUAUAACUGCAAUGUGAGAGGAACAUCACGCCAAACACAAAAGCCGAACUUGUAAAAAGGAAAUCCUUGAUGAUCGAACAAGGAGGAGAAAGGUUAGGACGACUGGUUAAUAAACUGGUAAUGGAGAAUGAAGCCAAGGAGUUUUUGAAAUUCCUAAAACAUAGCGACUAUAGGGUUGUGGAACAAUUAAACAGUAGCCGACACACAUAUCGGUAUUGGUUUUGCUCUUAAACUUGGAGGUACACUGUAACGCACUGAUGAAGCUGUUGAACGAAACCUAUGUCGCUAAUAACAUCUCAGUAAACAAGCUAGAUCGCCUUGUCAACAACAUAAGCACUGAUAACGUCAUCUAUUUCGGUGAGGAUGAGAUACCGCCAGGGGGCAUCGGAUCCACCAAUUCUCUGCACAUCACCACUCGCUACAAAGGGUAUACAUUACUGGGGGUACUAAUUGAUAAUGGAUCAGCAUUGAACGUCUUGCCCCUGUCCACAUUGAAUAGGUUACCUAUAGACAACUCUCAUAUAAAUACAUGCCAAAACAUAGUAAGGGCAUUCGAUGGCACUGAAAGGAAAGUAAUGGGAAGGAUUGAGGUACCUCUUCUGAUCGAACCAAACACAUACGAGGUAGAUUUCCUAGUGAUGGAUAUCAGGCCUUCUUAUAAUUGUUUAUUGGGGAGGCCUUGGAUUCACUCAGCGGGGGCAGUACCAUCAUCAUUGCACCAAAAGCUAAAGUUGGUGACGGAGGGCCGGCUAAUAAUGAUAAAUGUGGAGGAGGAUAUUAUCGCAUCCGUUACUAGUGAUGCGUCGUAUAUAGAAAAUGAUGGUGAGGUAAUAAAGUGUUCAUUUCGAUAAUUGGAAUUUGUAAAUGCGACUUUCAUAAUCGAAGGAGGUAGGGUCCUAAUGCCAAAAAUAUCUGAAGCUAUAAGGAUAAGCUUACAACUAACAGUUGGAAAAGGGGCAUUGCCUGGAAGGGGACUUGGAAAACAUCUACAUGGACGGGUUAAAGUGCCAGUUUUGGCUGAUAAACAGGAUCGUCUUGGCUUAGGGUAUAGGCCAGACACAAAGUAAAGGAGAAAGGAGGUGGAAAAGAGGCAAAAGAGACGAAGAGCACGAUUAGGUGGGGCCGAGGUCAAAUGGGAAUCAAUGACUUUUCCCCAUAUAUCCAAUACAUUUGUUGACAGGAGGAAUUAUCUAUCCUGAACCAAAGAUGACAGAAGAAGGAACGACUAAAGAUUUGAUGGGAAAUCUGAAUAUCAACGUCAUAUCUAAAGAGAAAGUGAUGGAAGGAGACCUAGCAAGCAUUCGCUCUUAUGAGCCUGGGAGUGUUCUGAACAACUGGACUAUGGAAGAAAUUCCUAUAGUUUUUAGAGCUAAUACAGAGUAAUGUUUAAAACACACUUGUUGUUUUAAAGCCUAGAAGCAAUAAGAAUCUUUUGUGAAAUAGGCUCAUGUUCAAAACGUCUUUAUUUUAAUAAAAAUACACUUUUAUGUCUUAUUCUAAGAAAAUAUUCUUUUAUCCUGAGCAAAUAUUCUUUUCUUGCAUUUCAUUCAUAAUUAUGCCAUACAAAUAAGCUACUCUUAGAUUCAUUUAUUUUUUGGAUAUCCCUUCAUGCCUACAAUAGGUCUCUAGAUAUCAAUGACAUGAGUGACGCUAUUACGGACCUAGAAUUCCCUUUUGAGCAAGACAUGUGUUUGAAGGGAUCUCAGGAUUUUAAAGAUGAUGGAGACUGUAACUUAUCUCCGGAUUUGUUAGAAAUGGUAGAGCAGGAAGAGAAAUAGAUCCUACCUCAUAAGGAGAUGAUAGAGAAUGUGACCUUGGAAGAAGGAAAAGAGGUGAACAUUGUAACUUACAUAACCGAGGAAACAAGAUGGGACCUCAUUGAAUUAUUGCAAGAGUUCAAGGAUUUCUUUGCGUGGUCAUAUCAGGAUAUGCCUGGGUUGAGCGCUGAGAUUGUGGUACACUGCGUCCCCAUAAAAGAGGAGUGCAAGCCAGUUCAACAGAAGCUCCGAAGGAUGAGACUCGAUGUUGCAAUAAAAAGAAGGGAAGAGGUCAAGAAGCAAUUUGAUACUAGGUUCUUACAAGUAGUUAAUUAUUCAGAAUGGGUAGCCAACGUUGUUCCCGUCCCUAAGAAAGAUGGAAAAGUACAGAUGUGUGUAGAUUACAGAGACUUAAACAACGCCAACCCAAAAGACAACUUCCCACUGCCUCACAUCGACACUCUAGUAGAUAACACGGUAGGUUACUUAUUGCUCUCCUUCAUGGAUGGUUUCUCUGGAUACAAUUAGCUAAAGAUGCAUCCUGAAGAUAUGGAAAAGACCACAUUCAUAACCCUGUGGGGAACAUUUUUCUAUAAAGUGAUGCAUUUGGGUUAAAAAAUUGCGGGAGCAACGUAUCAAAUAGCCAUGGUAACCUUGUUUCACGACAUGAUGCACAAGGAAAUUGAGGUUUACGUCGACGAUAUGAUCACAAAAUCCUGAACAGAAAAGGAGUAUGUACAGGUUUUGAGGAAAUUGUUCUUGAGGCUAAGAAAGUUUCAGCUAAAGCUCAAUCUAACAAAAUGUAAUUUCGGAGUUAGGUCAGGGAAAUUGUUGGGUUUCAUAGUGAAAGGGGAAUUAAGGUUGACCCAGACAAAGUCAAAGCUAUACAAGAAUUUCCUUUGCCGCAUACUCAAAAGGAAGUUUGAGGUUUCCUAGGAAGACUAAAUUACGUCGCUCGGUUUAUUUUACAACUAACCGAGAAAUGUGACCCCAUAUUUCAUCUUCUCAAGAAACACAACCCAGGUGCAUGGGAUGAUGAGUGUCAAAAAACCUUUAACAAGGUUAAGCAAUAUUUGUCCAAUCCCCUAGUACUAAUGCCACCUAGUCCUGGUAGGCCACUGAUACUAUAUUUGAUAGUAUUUGACAAAUCAAUGGGAUGUGUGCUCGGCCAACACGAUGAGAAAAGAAAUAAAGAAAAGGCGAUAUAUUACCUUAGUAAGAAAUUCACUAAGUGUGAAGUGAGAUACUCGCCAAUUGAGAAAUUACGUUGCGCCUUGGUUUGGACAACUCGGAGAUUAAGGCAGUACAUGUUGUACCAUACGACUUAGUUAAUCUCGAAACUGGACCCUCUAAAGUAUAUAAUAGAGCAACUACUUUAAGUGGAAGAAUAGCUCGAUGACAAAUUUUGCUUUCUGAAUUUGACAUUAUCUAUGUAAACCAAAAGACUAUGAAAGGGAGUACAAUAGUAGAUUUUCUAACCAAUAGAGCUCUAGAAGAUUACGAGCUUUGAACUUUGAUUUUCCUAACAAAGAUCUAAUGUAUGUGGCAACUAUUAAAGAAGGUACUCCAGAAGAUCAUCCUUGGAAAUUGAACUUUGAAGGAGCAUCGAACGCAGUUGGCAACGGAGUUGGGGCAGUCCUGAUAUCCCAAAAUGGAGAUCAUUAUCCAUUUAAUUGCAAAUUAAACUUUUAUUACACAAACAAUAUGGAAGAAUACAAAGCAUGUAUCAUGAGAAUCCGUUCAGCCGUCGAACGGAAAGUCAAAGUGUUAGAGGUGUAUGGGGAUUCUGCGCUAGUGAUCUAUCAGCUUAAGGGUGAAUGGGAAACAAGGGACCCCAAGCUGAUUAGUUACCAAAAGGUGGUCCUGAAGUUAAUUGAGGUGUUUGAUGAUAUCGCUUUCUGUUACUUCCUGUGAGAUGAAAACCAGAUGGCUAACGCCUUGGCUACAUUAGUUUCUAUGAUUAGAGUAAAUAAAUAGAGGAUAUGAAACCGAUCCAGACGAGUAUUUACGAGGCUCCAGCUCAUUGCUGUAAUAUCGUCGAAGAAGAGGAGGGAGAUGAUUAUCCUUGGUAUCAUAAUAUUAUUUGAUAUGUGAAGAACCGUGAAUACCUUGAUCAGGCAACUGAAAAUGAUAAGAGAACGUUGAAGAGGAUGGCCAGUGACUAUGUAUUAGACAGAGAGAUCCUAUAUAAAAGGAGGAAGGAUCAGGUGCUGCUAAGAUGUGUUGACGCUGUUGAAUCUAAUAAAAUCCUGGAAGAAAUCCAUGAAGGUGUCUACGGGAUGCAUGCUAAUAGGUUUACAAUGGCCAGGAAAAUCAUGAGAUUCGAGUAUCACUGGUCCAUGAUGGAAGGAGAUUGCAUUAGUUAUGCCAAGAAAUGUUAUAAGUGCCAAAUUUAUGGAGACAAGAUCCAUGUGCCUCAUUCACCUCUUCAUGUUAUGACUUACCCAUGGCCUCUCUCAAUGUGGGGCAUGGACGUCAUUGGGCCGAUUUCGUCGAAGGCUUCUAACGGACAUCGAUUCAUCUUUGUGGUCAUCGAUUAUGUCACCAAGUAGGUAGAGGCCAAGUUCUUGAAGAAGGAGAUCAUAUGUCGAUAUGACGUGACAGAAAUGAUCAUAUCUAACAAUGCGUUAAAUUUAGAUAACAACAUGAUAGUGGUGGUCUGCAGUCGGUUCAAAAUUAAGCACUACAACUUGUCACCAUAUCGCCCGAAAAUAAAUGGUGCAGUUGAGGCGACUAAUAAAAAUAUCAAGAAGAUCGUGGGGAAAAUAACUGAGACCUACAAGGAUUGGCAUGAAAAGUUACCAUUUGCUCUCUAUCCUUAUCUAACAUCUGUCAGACCUACUACCGGGGCAACACCUUAUUCUUUAGUUUAUGGGAUGAAAGCAAUCUUGCCUAUUGAAUUAGAAAUUCCUUCUCUCUGGGUUUUAUCAGAAUUGAUGCUGGACAAAGCAGAAUGGAUCCAAUCCCGGUAUGAUCAGUUGAACCUGAUUGAAAAAAAGAGGCUGAAGGUAAUGGUCAAAUGUACCAGAAGCGAAUGAUGCAAGCUUACAACAAAAAGGUUCGCCCUAGAGUAUUCCAUGAGGGGAACUUGGUAUUGAUAAAGAUUCUCCCUAUGCAAAAAGAUUUCAAAGGGAAAUGGAUGCCAAACUGGGAAAGACCUUAUUUGGUAAAGAAUGCUUUUUCAGGAGGAGUAUUGAUAUUAACUGAGAAGGACGGUAAGAGUCUGCCUAACCCAAUAAAUUCGGAUUCAGUUAAGAAGUACUUCACCUAAAAAGUGAGAGGCCAAGGCGAAAACCCGCAAAGGGUGUGAUAAACCAUAAUUUAUACAUAUUUCUAUCCUAUGCUUAGCACAUUUUAUGGAUGAUUUUUCCUUACAAUUGGUUAAUUCGAUGCUCGUAAUGCUUUAAUUUCAUAUUUUAUACUUAGGUGAGCAUAGGAGAGUGAAAGGAACGAGAAACGGGCCAAAAAUAGAGAAAAUGGGCCAACGUACAAAAUCAACACGGCCUGGACCUCCUCACACGGACAGAGCACACGGCCGUGUCAAUUUGGCAGAAUCGAAGCACGACUCACACGGGUGGACCACCGCCCGUGCCUAUUUAACAAUCUUGACCACGGCCUGAAGUAAUCGCACACGGGUGUUUCCCUGCCGAGCCCAAGUUUAGUCCAAUUUGGAAAAGGCCAAUUUUGAGGGCUCUUAGGCAUUCCAAAGCCUAUAAAUACACCCUAGAAGAGAAGAAGAAUGGGGGACACAGAGGAGGAAACAGGGAACUGCUCAAGAAAAGCCGAUUGAUCCAUCUCAGAAGUUGGAUUCAUCAUCAAGACUGAAGAUCUCCCCUCAAUUUCCCUUCAGGAGUUUUGGGUUUUUAUUUAUGUUUGUAUUCAUUAUUCUUCUGAGAUGUUUACCUUUUUAGUUAUGAACUAAAACCCCUAAAUACCUAAGGGGAAUGAAACCUAAGAUAGAUCUUGUUAUUAUUAUCUGAAUUGUAUGAUAAAUAUUUGACUUGUUCUUAAUUAUGUGUUCUUAAUUCUUGUUUUGAUAUUCCAGUAUAUUGAUUCAAGUUAAGCUCUUAUUCAGAGGAGGAAUAGACCCGUCUAAGAGUACAUUUGUCAUAAUUAAGCAGAGUUGAUUGCACGCCUAGAGAUAGAGUGACAAGAUUUUACCGGAUUAGGGUGAAACCUAAUAAGGGGAUCCAUAGAUCGAGUUAAUACAACCAUAGGGAGUUAAUUAGAAAGAGAUUUCAAUUAUUCAACCUAUGGUUAGAUGUUGUUAGUCUCGAUAGGGAUAAUACUAUAACUUAGGGAUUUCUACAGAUCAAGGCAAAUGAAUAAAUCAUCCGAUUCAGAGUCAAAUAACAAGUGAAGUCUAGGUGGAUUUUUCCUUAGGUAUUGUCUUAAUUCAAUCGUUUUUUUUUUCAAAAGUAAUUCCGCAAUUCUAUUUUCUGUGAUUUCUUAGUUUAGUUAAUUAGUUAGACAAACAAAAAAAAAUUAUUUUUUAGGCUAGGUAAUAAAAAGAAAGUUAAUACUAGUACUUUUAGUUCCUUUGGGUUCGACAAUCCGGUCUUGCUAAAGCUAUACUACUGUUUGAUAGGUACACCUGCCUUUAUUGUGAUAAUAGUUAGUUUCAAGAACGAUUCAUUAUAAAUAUUUAAAACCUAUCACGAAUAUCACGUAUCAGGGCGCUUUCAAAAAAAAAGGAGAGGCCGAGGUGAAAACCAACAAAGGGCGCCUUGAGGCCAAAGGGGUUUUAAAUUGAAAACCCGAAAAGGGAAAUUCAAAUUUUGAUCGAGGAUGAGGCAUAUGGUAGUCUUGCUGUGCUUGAAUUAAUGAAGAGGAAGUAUGCUACAUCUUGGGGCAUCAAAAAAGUACUCUAGAUCUCCUAGGCACAUGAUAAGCUCAAAAUGGUCCUCAAAGAGUUCGUACGGAGAAGCUCAGGCUGCGAUAUUAGGGCACUCUUUUUUUCCAUUACCUAUUUUUUUUUGUACUCCGACAAUAUUUACUUUCUUUGAUUAAUCCAUUCUUUUCGAAUUUUGUUCCUAAUAAAUUUCAGUUUUAUCCAUCUUUAUAUUCUCUUUUAAGCGUUUCAUAUUGAAAUAAUGAUUAAUUACUUUCACAAAAGGAGUUUUGCAUAUUACUCUAGAAGUUUCUAAACAGUGUAAGGACCUAAAACAGGACUAUUGUUUAGAACUUACCGAAUUUAAGGGUUGGAAAUAUUUGAGUCCAAAUUGAGAUUAUCUCUUUGAAUUUCUAGUCAAAGAUAUCGGUUGAACAAGAAGACAAGAUAUCACGUCAAUAAUGAAAACAAGCGAUGUCAACCAAGCAUAAGAGGGGAUCAUUCUCGAGAAAAGAGAAAUGAUAUUUCUCAUUCAUGCAAAUAUUAGGUGUACACAUCUGGUAAUGACACCAGGGGAAUGGUGUAAUAGACCAAAUUGAUGAAAGAUUCAGAUCCUAUACUCUUGAGUUGCAGGGGAGGGUUUGAAGAUGGUACAAACCUUAGGUCCCAGAAGUAUAGUGAAAUGGACCCUGAAAUUAUAAUGGGGAAAACCAGUUGAGCAAAAUGGGUUGUUUCUACGGGUUUUUUGUUGAAAAGUGCUAGCCGAGCAAAAAGGCAGCAUAGUAUGUCAGUGAUAAAACUCUGAUGAAUAACGAGUAAUGACACUUUAAGCAUUUAAAAAGGAAUCAUUCUCAUGACAUUUCUACAUUCAUAUCAUUCGUAGCACAUUUGGCUAGGAGCAUCUGAUUCAUUUUGAUCAUAGCAUCCUAAUCAUUUGGCAUAAACAUAGGCAUAUGAAACCGAGUCUACAGGACAUAUCCCCCAGAGGAUGGUGUAGCAACACCAGUGAAAAUUGCAGAUCUUAUCUCCCUAAGCAGUAGUGGAGCAGAUCAAAGAUAGCAAAUCUUAUCUCCAUGUAGCGGCAAUGGACCAGAUUUAAGCCACCAGCCUUAUCUCCCUGAAGUUGCAGUGGAGCAAGUUCAAGAUACAAGUCUUAUCUCCUUGAAGUUACAGUGGAGCAGACUGAAAAUUGCAGAUUUUAUCUCCCUAAGCAGUAGUGGAGCAGAUCGAAGAUGGUGAAUCUUAUCUCCAUGUAGCGGCAAUGGAGCAGAUUUAAGCUACCAGCCUUAUCUCCCUGAAGUUACAGUGGAGCAAGUUCAAGAAACAAUUCUUAUCUCCCUGAAGUUGCAAUAGAGCAGGCUAAAAAUUGCAUAUCUUAUCUCCCUAAGCAGUAGUGGAGUAGAUCAAAGACAGUGAAUUUUAUCUCCAUGUAGCGGCAAUGGAGCAGAUUUAAGACCACAAACCUUAUCUCCCUGAAGUUGCAGUGGAGCAGGUUAAAAUUACCAAUUCUUAUCUCCUUCAAGUUUCAGCAGAGUAGAUCGAAGCUAAAAAUCUUUUUUCCCUGAAAUUACAUUGGAGCGGAUCGAAGCACCAAUUCCUAUAUCUUUGAAGAUAUAGUGGAUUGGAACGAGGUUACUUAAAGGGGAAGAAAAGAAGUGCCGAGACUCAGCAGGUCCAGGCAAAAUUGGCCCUUUUAUAGUCUUUGCUCCAUUCUCGUUACACGACAAUGGGCAAAGAGGGGAAGUUGUAAUAGACCAAUUUUGGCCUGGGCCCGGAAAAAAUAAUAACUGAAUAAAUAAAGCCAAAGGAUGCAACCGGUCGAAAACAAGCCAAAAAUGGCCAAAUUGAAAGACAAUUAUUAAACUGGGGCCAAAUCAAAAAGAUGGAGAAAGCCAAAGAGUUACCAGAUUUUGUUGACUUGGUAAAAAGCCAAAAAUAGGAAGAUAUCAUUUUAUUUUAUUUAUUUAUUUUUAUUUUAUUUUAUUUUAUUAUUAAAUUAGUUAAGCUAUUUUUAGUAAACCCCGUGUAUAUAAAUAGGGGUAUUUUGUUCUUUGAAAAGGGGAGGAAUUUAGUGCAAAGAAAAAUUUUCGGAAAGGUGAUUCUCUUUUUUCGAUUAGACUUAACAUCUCGUGUUUUUUUUUCCUUUCUGUUUUUCUCUUUUUUUUAUUUUUUUUAAAAAAAUCCAUUUGCAAAGAAGAAAAUAAAAAAGAAAGGGAUAAAAGAGGGGUACCUGAACUGUUGAUAUGUUGUCGGAGUCUCUCCUUUGUCAAAAUCAAAUCCGACAGAAAGCCCUUUCUUUUUGAUUCUUGGUGGUUGAGAAUGCGAAACCCUUGAACAGGGCUCUUAUGGGAGUGAAAAGGGGUGUUUAGUUUUUUUAUUUCUGCUUUUAAAUAACUAAGUGCUUUAAUUUUAGGGUUUAUUUUUAGUUUUAUAUUGUAUCUGAAAUGACACUAUUUAGGGCCUAUUUUAGUGGCUCCAAAACGGUGCCGUAUAAGGCGACCCGAUUCAACUCGACCCGGUACGCAUGAGGAUCCGCAGGUUUUUCUUAAAGGGGAUAUCUGCACGAUUAGUCUCUUUCUUGUGCGUAGUCCUAUGAUUGGGCCCUACUCCAAUUUUCUUAUUCUUAUUUUGUUACUAAAAGUUGAGCAUUGUUUCAAAUUAGUUCGCGUUUAAACACUGCGUUUCGAAGAUUUGGGGCAUUUGCAUUUUUAAUCCUCGUGUGUUGUCGCGCACUUUAUUUUAAUCCUUGAUUUUGUUUAAUAACUUUAUUUGUUUGUAAAUCAUUCCUUUGAUUUUGGUUUCUACUUCAAUUGAGUCUGUUUUUUAAUUUAUGUGUUUUAUUCUCUAUAAUUUAUUCAUUAUUUAUCGUUAAAAGAAUUUGUUUUAACAUUUUUAUUCUUUCGUUUGAUCUCGCAUAGUUUUAGUGUUUUUGUUACUUACUUUUGUAUAUUUUUAUACUGUUUUUCAAUUUUACUUAUUUUAGAUUCUUUUUUAUAUUUCUAUGUUUUAAAAAUUUAUGUGAUAUUUAAUUUAAAUAUUUUUAUGCAUUUUAUAUAUUUACACAUUAUUUAGCUUAAAAUUAUUUUCUUAUUCUAUAUAUAUUAUUAAUGUUAUAUUCUUUUAUGUAUAUAUUUUCUUUAAAAAUCUAUUUAUAUAUAAUUUAUUUCCUAUAAAGACCCUAUUUUAUCAUAUAUUUUUGUUUAUUUCAAAUACUUUUAUAUAUUUGUAUUUUCAUGUAUCAAUUAUUUAUAUUAAGUUUUUAUUUUAUGUAUAUUAUUUAUGUAGAUUGACAUAUGUAUUAUUUUGUAUAUUACUUACCUUAUAAUAUUCAUUUUAAAAUUCAUUUGUAGAUUACUAUUUAAUAUAUUAUUUAUUUUUACCUUUUUACCUAUUUUAAACUUUUAUAUCUAUUACUCGUUUUAAAAUUUUUUGUACUGUUUGUAUAGUGAUGUUUUCAAAUUUUCUUUCUUUCAUACUAUUAAUUUUAUUUUAUUUUAAAACUUGUUAUAUUUCAUUUGUGUAAUUUGCUUGGAAUUUCUUUUAAAUUGGCUUUUAAUUCAUUAGCCUUUGAUUAUUAAUAUUAGUAUUUGUAUAGUAUAUGAUGGGUUGCCAUUGCAUGUACCCUAAUUUGCUCCGUUGUGUUUUUUUAUUAUUUUUUAUCAUUCAUGUAACAUUAUUACCAGGUGUUUUUAUUUCAUGCUCGAUACUAUGCUUGUAUGUUUCUUAUUAUUACAUCAGGUUUUAAAUUCCAAUUUUUGCCCAAUAUCGAUUGCCUUUUAUCCUUAAGUAAACUAAACGAAUAUAUUUUGAGUCGGUUUUAUUAUCGCUUAUUCGAAAACUUCUCAAAAUAAGACAAUAUUUGGUGUUUCGAAAUUUGAGAAAUCGUGCCUUAACGAGCUGGGUUUCGAUUUUCUGUUUGACCUAAUAACCAAGUAUCCUUGUAAAAUUUUGCUCGUGCUUUCUUAAAUUAAAAAACAAGGCAAUAUUUUGUGUUUGGAAAUUCGGGAAAUAGUGCCCUAACCUGCUCGGUGUCAAUUUUCCGUUUGACCAAAUAACAGAAUAUCUUUUUUUUUAGGCAUGAGCUUUGUAAACCCUGAGAGGAUCUUGGUUUCGAAGGUUUAAAAUGCCGCAUCCUAACGUAUUAGACAUGAUAUUUUGUUCUUUCGGAAAGGAGAAUCUUAAAAUCUAACUGGAGUUGUUCGCACAUUUUUAAAGGGAUCAUAUUUUAAUAUUUUUUCAAAUUUUCAACUUUAGGACAUUAAUGAGUCAAUUGGUACCAAUUUUGGGUGUUGCGAGGGUACUAAUCCUUCCUCGUACGUAACCGAAUCUCGAACUCGUUUUCUAUAAUUUCAUAGGCCAAAAUCAAUAUUUUAAAUAAAAUAAAGUGUUUUAUAAGGUGAUCCAAUCACACUUAAACAAAAGGAUUGGUGGCGACUCCAUUUUCGUUUUUAAAGUCGAUCCCCAUUUCUCAAAAUUAAAAAUGGUUUCGAUAGUUCCCAUUUGAAAUACGUUUAUUUAGGUGAUUGUUCCACUUUGCUUGUGAUUAUUUCAGUAGAACUGACAAAAGAUCAAGAAGAGCAACUAAUUGUUGUUCUAAAGAAAUUUAAGAAAGCAAUUGGUUGGACCAUAGUUGAUAUUCGAGGCAUAAGCCCUUCAUUUUGCAUGCACAAAAUUAUUCUAGAGGAAGGUGAAAAAGCUCGAUUUGAUGGGCAAGGGAGGCUCAAUCCUAUUAUUAAGGAAGUUGUGAGAAAGGAAGUGAUCAAAUGGUUAGAUGUAGGAAUCAUCUAUACUAUUUCAGAUAGUUCGUGGGUAAGUCCGGUGUAAUGUGUACCAAGGAAAGGUGGAAUUACGAUUGUUGAGAAUGAUCGUGAUGAAUUGGUCCCAACAAGAGCUAUUACUAGUUGGAGAAUUUGAGUUGACUAUAGGAAGCUAAAUAAAGCCACUCAGAAGGACCAUUUUCCGUUGCCUUUUAUGGAUCAGAUGUUAGAUCGACUAGCAGAUAAUGUAACAGCCCGAUUUUGACCCUAAUCGAAACGGUAGUUUCGGGACCACGAAUCUGAAUCAGAAAAAUGUUUUAAAUUAAAUUUUGGUAUUAGAUAUGUGUGAAUUGAUAUCCAUGAAAGUUCCGUAUCUUAAUUUUUCUGUUUAGAUGCCGAAUUAUAAAGAAAGGGUGUAAUUGCACAAUAGGUAAAAUUUGAUUAAUUAUGUGUGAAUGCUGAAUUGUUAAUGGUCUUUUAUUUUGGGGGAGUUAAAAUGCUAUUAAACCAAGACUCAUGCAUGGACACAAUCGGUCAAUAGAUAGUGGAAAUAGCAUAAUUUUAUAAUGGCUAUUUUGGUAGCUUAAUAAUUAUAUUAUCACAUUAACUUAGUAAAAUAGGAAGUGGGUGGAGUUUUCAUUUUUAGAAAAACCGUAGAUAGCCAAGAAAAAGAAAGAAAUAGAUUCCUUGCAUUCGACCCUUGUCUAGUUUAAUUUAAAGGUAUGUUUCAGUUUAAUUUUUAGAAAUUUUUGCACAUUUCAGAUGAUUGAUAAGUUGCUUAGUUAACCCAUAGUUUAACUUUUGGAAUUGGUAAGGAAAUGGUAUUCGGCCGUGGAUAAAGGUUUGAGAAAAAAAAUUAGUUUGAAGUUGCAUAAUAGAAGAGAUGUGUUAUAUUAUUGAGUUUUAUACUAGAAGUUUGCAUGAAAUUAACUAAAUAGGGCUUAUUUGCUUAGUUGAUAAAUUGAGGAGAUAAAUUUCGAAAUAGAUUAAAAGGAAGGAUUUAUUUAAACUUAAGGAGUAUUCGGCCUAAGUUAGGUUGGAAUUUUUGAUGUUUCAUGUUUUUGUUAUAUUGGAUUAAAAUGUAAAAAUGUACAAUGUGAAGGGCAAAUUGGUAAUUUGCUUGAUUAUGAGUUUCGGAGUUAAUUUAAUAAAAAUUUCUUUGAAUGAGUUCAAUUUGAAUUUUUAAUAGAUCAAGAGCAAAGAGGAUCGGGUUUGGAUAAGGGAAAGGCGAAAAUAGUCGAAUAGUCGAAAAAUAUAGUCCGUCGAUAUUCGAGGUAAGUUACUAAGCAAAUAAUUGUUGUUGACUUAUAUAAAUGCAAUUUAUAUAUAUACAUAUAUACAUGCUGAUUUGGAAAAUGCAAAAUGUUAAUUAUGCUAAAAGUGAAUGUUUUGAAUAGGCAUGAAUGGAUAUAUAUGUGAAUUAUCGAGCACUAAGUGUGCGAAGUAAAACUAUCAAGCACUAAGUGCGCGAUUUCAUUGCAUUGCGAGUUAAAUAAUAGCACUAAGUGUGCGAAUACAACAAUUGAUCGAAAGUGGCCGAACGAGUUAUUUAUCAAAUGCAAAAGUAGUAAGUGGAAUAUUUAAAUUCGUAAUAUGUAGGUAUGUAUCGAACCUAUGUGGUUGAUAUAAUUGAAUUUGGAAUUACGGGGUUGGUUGUAGCAAAUGUAAAAUGUAUGAAAGAAUAGUAAAAUGAAAGAUGAAGGAGUUAAAAGGAAUGAAUUGAUAUAUUAUAUGCAUGUUAUAAUGUUUGAAUAUUUAUUUUAACUGCAUAUGAACAUUCGGCUAAUUAUGAAAAUGUGAGAUUGGAAGUGAUGAGUAGUUAUGUGAAAGAGUAUAUGUAUAUUCGAAAAUGUUGGAAAUUAUAUGUGAAUGAUUGAUAGAUAUAUGGACUGAUAAGUUUGGAUGAAUAUGUGAUUAUGGAAGUAUGACUCGGUUAUUUAAUUGGACUAUCAAUGUCUUUUAAAUUGUUUAAAUUGCAUACAACUUACUAAGCUAAGAUAGCUUACUUUGGGUGUGUGUUUACUUGUUUUUACUUUAUAGAUUUUAGAAAUCGUUACGUGCUCGGGGAUCGUCCGUGAAGUUCACCACACUAUCGUCUAUUUCAGUAUUAACGAGUGUUUAAUUUGAAUUUAUGGUGUCGAAACCAAUUUUUAGAUUUAAAGAAAAACGGGAUCAACUUGAAAAACGAAAAAAAUGUGUAGUCGCCACCGAUCCUUUAUUUAGGUGUGAUUGGGUCACCUAAUUAAACACUUUGUUUUAUUUAAACCAAUUUUGGCCUACAUAAAUAUGAGAAAACGGGUUCGGGAGUCGAUUACGUAUGAGGAAGGACUAGCACCCUCACUACGCCCAAAAUUGGUACCAAAUUGAUUAAAUAUUGUCCUUAUAUCUAAAAUUUGAGAACGCUUUUGAAAUGUGGUUCCUCUUAUAAACAUUUGAAUAGCUUAAGUUGGUCGUCAGAAUUCUUUUGUUUCAGAGGUAUACAGCAUCACAUCCAGCACGAUAGGACAUUGUAACAUACCGAUUUUUUAGGGUUGAUCGGAACAGUGGUUUCGGGGCCACCAAAUCCGAACGAGUAGGUUGGUAAAUAUUAUAUUUAAUAUUUACGAGUUAAUUGUGAUUUUAAAAAUGUUUUUGAUAUUGUGAUUUUUGUUUUAUAAGCGAUUUAUUAAGUUCAAGUGGUAUGACCCUAAGGUCAAGUGGGUUUAGAAAAUAAGGUAUCGGGACCUUGUUUCUAUAAACCGAGUCGUAAAUAUUUUAUAAAUAUUUACGUAGUGGCAAUAAGAUGGUAUUAAAGUUUCGGUGAAAAAUUUUAUCGUUUUGAUAGUUAAUUAAACAAAAAGGACUAAAUUGUGUAAAGUGCAAAAGUUGUGUUCUAUAACCUAAAGGUAUUAAAUAGAUAUAGAACUUAAAUGUAGAAGUCCUUAUUUGGUAAUUAGCCCAUUAAAGAGAUAGUGGGAUAUGAUGGCUUGGCAUUUGGUGUAAUAAAUAAAGUGUAUAAAGGUUAAUAUUGUAAAUUGGUUAAAAAUAAUAAUAAAAUGAAUAUAAUAAAAGAAUCAAGGUGUCAUCUUUUUCAUUCUCUUUUUACCAGCCGAAUAUGAAGGCUUGAGAAGCCAUGGAAGAAGCUUCCAACUUUCAGCUAAUGCAUGGUAGGCAUUUCUAGUCUCGUUUUUAAUUAUUUUUAUAUUUUUGGGAUCGUUGUUGCUUAAUCUAUCUAAUGAGGGGACUAUUUUGCAAAACCAUUGAAUAGUUUGAUAUUUGCCAAUGAUGAGUAUAAUAGGGCUUUGAAGUUUAAUGGAAGAAUAUGAGUCCUUGUUGAUAGUUAAACACUUUUUGUUAAGUGAAUUUUUGUGAAAUUGACAAUUAAGGGCUAGAUUGAUAAAUGUGAAAACUUUGUGGUUAAAAUGUCAAAUAAAUGAAAUUUGUGGGCUGCUAGAGACACUAGUGAUAUUCGUCUAUAGUAGAAUUUUACUCAAUUUCAUGAAUUUGCAUUUUUAUGAUAUAGGGACUAAAUUGUAAAGAAGUUGAAAUAUUAGGGGCAAAACUAUAAUUUUGCCAUAAAGUGAAUUAUGGACUGUUUUGAUACCAUGAACAUUUGGCUAAGCUUAAUUAUAGUUAAAAAUGGUUAAUUGCAUGUUUUGAGCUCAGGGACUAAAAUGAAUAAAAGUAAAACUUUAGGGGUAAUUUUGUAAAAAUGACAAAAAUGACCAAAUUGUAUGAAAUGAGGUGUUUUAAUGUCUAAAUUAAUAUACUGAAUGAAAUUAUUAAUUUAGAUCAAGAUCGGGUGGAAAAUCGAGAAAAAUGAGAAAAUUACCAAAAUGCCCCUAAACUUUGGUAUCUCUACAAUUUAGCCAGGUAAGUUUGUAUGCAAUAAGCAUUGUUAAAUUGAUGUUUCUAAUGCCUUAAUAUUGUAUAAAUUGUAUAUACGUGAAUAUUUUAAUGUCUAACGACAUAUCGAAAAAAUGUGGCACUUAGUGUGCGGGGCAAUCAAAUAUGGUACUCAGUGUACGAAAUAUUGAGAAUGGCACUUAGUGUGCGAGAUAUUGAGAAUGACACUUAGUGUGCAAAAUAUCGAAUGAUUCAAAGGGAAAUUAUAAAUUGUGAUUGAAUGAUUAAAUAGAGCAAAGUGAACAGGUAUACAUGCUAUAUUAUAUGAAUUGUUUAUGAGACGACUUUAUUAUGGUGAUAUUUGGCUUUGAGCCUAGCAAGCUUUAAGCUGGUGAAUAAUGUUAUCGGGUUUAAAACCUAGCAGGCUAAAUGCUGGUGAUUUGAUAAAAGUCUAAGACUAUGAGACCUUGUGUUAAAUCGGCAAUUGAAUUUGUUCAAUGCAUUAAGUUGGCUAGGUAUGUGAUAUAUUCUUAUGCAUGUUAGAUCGAUUGGAAUUGAAUCAUGAAUGUGAAAUGAGAAGCAUAGGGGAAAUGCCUAUGUCAUAUAUGUGAGUAAGGGCAAAACCAUCGUAAAUUAUCGAUAAGGGUGGACUAUGUGCGGAAUCAUCUUAUAAUUGCUAAUUUGAGCGGUUGUGUGUGAAUCAUUGAGCAUGAUGUAUUGUAUUGAGAUUAUGCUUGAGUGAAAUUAUAGAUAUGUGAUGAAAUUGAUCGGUAAUAUACAUGUUUAAAUAAUGUGAAUGCAAAGGAUGUGUGAAAGAGUAAAUUUGUAAUAAAUCUGCUUCAGACAGCAGCAGUAACGUGAUUUUGGAAAAUCACCAUAAAUUGUUGGAGUUGAGUUAGAAGCUGAAUAAAUUUAAUGAGUCUAGUUUCUUAUAAAAGAAACCGUGUAAGCAAAAGAAUUGCUGAUAAUGAGAUAUUUGAAGUGGCGUGGGAUAGAGUCAAAUGACUUCGGGGUCCCCUGUUCUGUUUUUAGAAAAUCAUUAUAAUUUGUACAAAAAUGGUUAUAGGAUAAAAUUUAUAUGCUUAGACUCCUUAAUGAGUCUAGUUUCAAAUGAAAUCAAAUAGAACAUAUUUUGAAUUUUGUAAAAUGAGAAAUUUGAUUCGUAGUGAAGAGUGGUCAGAUUAUUCAAACAGUGAAACAGGGGAAACUUUAAGAAAAAUCUGGUAUUGAUUGGCCAAACCUAAAAUUCUGAAAAUUUUAUGGAUGGAAUAUAUAUGAGUCUAUUUUCAGGGAAAAUUAACGGCAAUUGAUUUGGAGUUUUGUAGCUCCAGUUUUAAAUAAUUUAGUGACUACUGCUCAGGAAGACAACUUGUAGUGAAUUUGUGAUUAUGUUGUAAACAUUGAUAAAACUUGUUAAUGAGUUGCUUAUUGUUUUCUUAUGAACUUACUAAGCGUAAAUCUUACUCCCCUUUUCUUUCCCAUAUUCCCUAGGGUUACCAGGUUAGCUCAGGUUGGAGGCCGUCAGAGAUAUUAUCACAUUGUCAAGUCUAUGCUAUCGGCGUAAGUAAAUCUUAGUGUUUCGAGUCUAUGGCAUGUAUAGGGUUGUAAAGUUGAGUAAGUAAAUGAUACAAGACUAAGAUAUUGGUAAAUAUUUAAUAAUGCCUCAUGAAUAUUUUGGGCCUUGUAAGCCCGAUUAAAGGAUAAUAUACGUGUGUAUGAAAAGUUUAAAAUUGAUCAAAAAUUUUUACAGUCUGGUUUUAUAUAAAUGGAUGAGUUUAAAUCUGGUAGCACCUCGAACCCUGUUCUAGCAAGGGAUACGGGCGAAGGGUGUUACAUUUUAUUGGUAUCAGAGCCAUGGUUUAGUCGGCUCUAGGACUACCAUGGCGUAUGUGAGUCUAGCUGUACAUGCCAUAUUUGACCUGCGAUAGUGUGAUAUCUCCUGACUCUGACUAAAAUUAUUUGAAUAGGACAGAUAAGUCUUUCAAUCAAGCUAAUUUUAAUAUUAUAGAAUAUGUACUCAGAUGUUUGAAUGAAAUUGUGUUCUAUACUGAUUUGAUUAAAUUAAAGUUGGCUCUGAAAUGUUUAAGUGUUCAUGAAUAUAUGAAUCCAAAGUUAAAUGAAAUGAUAUGUUCAAAGUGCACAUAUGUGAUGUUUUAUAGACUUGGUUAAGUCACUUUAAUGUGCAACAACAAGUGAACAUAGGCACUGUGUGUGUGAGUUCCGUAACCGAGCACUGUGUGUGCGAGAUCGGUUGUUGAGGCACUGUGUGUGUGAGUUCCGUAACCAAGCACUGUGUGUGCGAGAUCGGUUGUUGAGGCACUGUGUGUGCGAGUUUCGUAACCGAGCACUGUGUGUGCGAGAUCGGUUGUUGAGGCACUGUGUGUGCGAGUUUCGUAACCGAGCACUGUGUGUGCAAGAUCGGUUGUUGGGGCACUAAGUGUGUGAAAUGAGAUCAUGUAAGACCUCGUUCGAGACGAAGGCAUUGAUUUGAAUGUGUUUCUAAAUAAAAAGGACUUAUGUGAGAAGCUUUGAAUAUAUGUGUGGCUUAUUUUAAGUGAUUAAUUAUUGAAUGAUGCAAAUAAGUGGGUUUGCAUGUCAAAUUGCCACUUUUAAUGUUAGUGGCCGGCCAUGAUGGUUUUGGUGAGCAAAAUAAGCAUGUUUUAUAUGUAUAAUAAUGAAUUGAUAUUUUUUUUAAGUAGUUUAUUGAUAUAUUUAUUAUUAUAUAGUUAUUGAUAAAAAUAAAAUAAGAAUGGGGGGAAGAAAACAAGAACUCAUCUUUGUUUCUUCACCUAGCCGAAUUUCAUAAAAAGAAGAAGAGUGAAGGAUGGUUUUGGGGGACCAUUCGGUCAAUUGGAGGCAAAUUUGAAGGUAAUUUGAUGUGGUUUUCUAAAUUGUUGAUGAAUUUGUGUUUCUUUUUUUCUUUUCUAACGAAACCCACUUGAUAAAUUUAAUUUUUAUGAGGCAUUUUAGAUUCGGCCUUAGUGAAAAUGAGUGAGGAAAUUUGAGUUGAGGAUAGAAAAUAGUAAACGAAUGUUCAAUGGACAAUUUGAUACCAAAAUUCAUAUGUUUAUGAGCUUGUUUUUGAAAAGUAUGUUACAUGUGAGUGAUUAGUUCAUGAAGGGAUUUUCGGUUAUGUUGUUUUGUAUGAGUAAUGGAUUGUUGAGUUCAUGCUAUUAUGAAUAAAACUGAUUAAGAGAGGCUUGAGAUAAUUAAAUAUGCAUGUUGGUGGUAAGAUGAGCAUUCAGUUUUUAUCAUGGAAGCAUAGGGAGCUUGUUAAAAGUUGAAUUUUAGAAAAGUUAAAUGUGUGUGUGCUUGUGCUAGUGCCGAAUGUGCCUAGGGUGAUUUAGCAUUGAGUUUGGUGUUAUAUGAAUUGAGUUUUAUGGUUUUGGAUUUUUAAGUGUUGUUAAAUACUUUGAAUAAUAUAUAUAAGUGGCUUUGAUAUGUGAAAUUCGGCCAAGUGGUUAUAAGCAUGAUUUUAGAAAUUCAAUGAUAUUCGGCCAAUUUGAAUAAUUCAUGGCACCCCAAGCAAAUUAGUUUUAGAUGUUAAUAAAUAUUGAAAUUAUUUAAGCAUAUUACCGAAUGUGAUUUUAGUUAAUGAUUCGGUUAUGAGUGCUGAUUUGUUUUAUAAUUAGCCGAAUGUGUAUAUGUAUACUAUGAGGUGGUUUAGCUUAAAGAAAAUUAAGGUGCUCGGAAGGUGAUUGUCAUGGAUAGUUUAAGUAAUGAAAUUUAAUUUCUGUUAUGAAAGUGAUGACAUUGCUGUUUGCAAAUUUGAAGUUAAAAAUUGUUGAUUGAGCAUCAAGAGCUUAUGGGGACAAACUCGGAUCGAGGAAAAAAAAACGAAGGUAGUCGUGUAGUCGAUAGAGCCGUACGAUAACUUUUGAGGUAAGCUCUUAAACGAUUAAGUUGAAUUUAUGUGUGUAAAGAUUAAAUGAAUAUAGAAUAAAGUUUUAGUAUAUGUGAUAUAUAAAUAUAUAUACUUUCGAAUGAUUAGUAAUGUUCAUAAUAUGAGCCGAAAAUGGCUAACUUACUCGAUUGAAUUGUGCAUGGAAAUGAGGUAUAUGCUAAAAGAGUUUUAGAGAAUGAUAUAUGAUCUCUGUGUUUCGGUUAAGUAAUGGUAAAUAGAAUGAGUAUGAAUUUAGUGAGGACUUUGUGUGAUAGCCAAAUGUCUUAUGAACUAAUAUGUGUGAAUGGUAUUUUGAAUACAUAAGAUGGAAUAACUGAAAGUAUCAUGAGUUAAGACUCGAAUAAAUUACUAUGAAUUUCUUGUAAAUGCCGAAUAGUGAUUACAUUUGGCUAUGAAAUUAUGCUUCAAAUUCUUGAAUGUAUUUGAAAUCAAUAUAAGGAAAUGGUAUUUUAAUAAAUUAUGUGAUGAAAUUACCGAAUGAAUUCUGAGAUGAAUUGUGGAUUAAUGUUAACAAGUAAGUGAAACUACUAAUGUGAUUAGGAAAUUGAAGAAGGGAAAUUUAGAUCUUAGUAAGUUCUUAAGUGUUUGAACUUUUGGAAAUUUAAGAGUAAAUUGUAAUAGAUCUGCUUGGGACAGCAGCAAUAGCGUGAUUUUAGAAAAUCACCAUAAAUUGUUGGAGUUGAGUUAGAGGCUAAAAAAAAUUAUGUAAUUAAAGCUUAAUGACUCUAGUUUCAAAUGAAAUCAACGAGAACAUAUUUUGAACUCUUUACAAUGAGAAAUUUGAUUCGAAGUGAAGAGUGGUCAGAUUAGUCAAACAGUGAAACAGGGGAAACUUUAAGAAAAAUCUGGUAUUGAUUGGCCAAACCAAAAAUUCUGAAAAUUUUAUGGAUGAAAGAUAUAUGAGUCUAUUUUCAGGGAAAAUUUACGGCACUUGAUUUGGAGUUUCGUAGCUCCAGUUACAAAUAAUUUAAUGACUGUUGCUCAGGAAGACAGCUUGUAGUGAAUUUGUGAUUAUGUUGUAAACAUUGAUAAAACUGUUUGAGUUGCUUAUAAGAUAUUGAUUAAAACCAUAUGUGAAUUUUGAAUUGUGACGUUAGGAAAUGAUAUAUAAGUGAUUUUGAUAUGAUGAAAUUGAUGUACAAGAUAUGUAUAUGUGGUGAGGCCGAAAUGGCUAAUAUUAAAUGUGUGCAAGUUAUCUGAAGGGCCUUUAUGAAAAUGUGUGCUAUCUUAUUUGUAUAGUGAGGCUGAAUGGUUACUUAGAAAUGUAAUAUGGCUGAGUGGUUAUUUAAAUGAAAGCAAAGUAUAUGAUAUAUUAGCAAGUAAUGAUAAAGCAUUAUCUUAUAUAUGUGCUUGUGUAUGUGGUGCAACUGAAUGGGCAAGUGUGAAAUGUACAUAUGUUUAUGUGUAUAUAAUGGGGCCGAAUGACCAAUUGUGAAAAGUGGGUACUAUUAGAUAUUUGAUGAGGCCAAAGAUAGUAAAAAGUAUAUAAAAUAAAUUGUGCUGAGAUUGUAUCCGGGCUUAAAGACCCGCAGGCUAUAUGCUGGAAUUAUAUCCGGGUUAAAUCCCGCAGGCUUUGUGCUAGUAAUAUAUCCGGGUUAAAUCCCGCAGGCUUCGUGCUGGUAUUAUAUCCGGGUUAAAUCCCGCAGGCCUAGUGCUAGUAUUAUAUCUGAGUUUAAAGUCCCAUACGCUUCGUGCUAGUGUUAUGUUUGGGUUUUAUACCUCGCAGGCCAAGUGUUAGUGAAAUUGAUAAAGUAUAUGACUACGAGAUCCUAUGCUAAGAUGAUAAAUUGAACUCGUAUUACACAUUAAGUGAUUCAGGUAUGUGAUAUAUAUAUUAUAUGUGAGAUUGAUCUGACAGGAAUUAAGAAUGUGUAAUGAGAAGCAUAUGAAAAGAUGUUGUAAAUUCAUAUGUAUAUUUGUAUAUGUGUGCAUUCAGUUAUUAUGCAAAGUUACAAGAUAGUUUUCGAUAUGCUAUUUAACUAUGAAUGUUGAAAGUAAGUGUGGGUAAGAAAUGAUACACUAGUGAAAUUUGAAAGAAUUAAAGUUAAUCCGGAAGCUUGUAAAUACUAUGUUUAUAUGAGUUUGAGUAUAAACGGAGUAAAAUGAUAUGUGUUUGUGCAUAAUCAGCCAAAUAGUAUUGUACUCAGAAAGUGUUAUGUGAUUUCGAACAUUUGGUUUGUUUUUAAGUUCAACUGUUUAAAUUGCUUAAGACUUACUAAGCUUAUGAAAGCUUACUUUGAAUGUUAUGUUUCUCUGUUUAUUUUUGUAGAUCGUUGACUCUUACUAUUAGCUCGGGGAUCGUCAGCACUUCGUCACACUAUCUACUAUUGUAGUAAUCAUGUGAUUUGGACUUAGUUUAUGCCAUGUAUAGGAUAGACUAUAAAUAGAAUGAUAUUUUGACUAUUGUAUAUAAGCCAUGCGACAUCUUAUGGAAGUUUACUUUUAUAAGUUUUAACUUCGAUCUUUGUUUGUGUCUAUUAGUUAUAUAAAUAAAUGAUCUUUUAUUUAAGAAAAGGUUCAAAAUUUUACUAUUUUGAUCUGAUUCCUAAUUUCUGGUAACGUCUCGUCCUAUUCCGGCGACGGUUACGGGAUAGGGGUGUUACACUUAUGAUUCUAUGUGGUUAUCUGUGAAAAAUAUCUAUUGAAUGACUGUAACUAUAUUUCAAUUUCUCUUAUGUUCAAAAUGCAUUAUUGAUAAUUGGGACAUUAUAUAUCUAUACGGUUGAGAUGUCAGCCUUAUUAUGGCACUAUGAUUUUAAAUUAUCUGAUGGUUGUGGCUUCAGUAUGGUUCAAAGCUUCGUUGAUUAAUAAUUGAAAAGUUAUUACUUGACAGUCGAGAUCGAUUCAGUUGUCUAGUUUGAUUAGAUUAAUUGCUUGAAGGAUUAAUCGAGUUACUUGUAUCUGAAUCUAUCCACAGGGUGGAAAUAAAGUUUGAAUGUUCACGGAUAAAUAGAUGAAUAUUCUAAAUGCAUGAUUCGUAUUCUAGAAGAUAUGAUACAUAAUUAUAUCCAUCAGAACGAUUUUAUUGAGAAAUGUUCUUAUAGAUCGCGAUUGGGAAGUCUGAAUGAUGUGAUAAUUAUCAAUAAAGUGGUAAACAGUUGAAGAAAUUGUUAAUUGAAGCGUCAGUUCUCAGGUGAAGAGUUAUUCGACACAAGAAUUAAAUAUGGUUUGAACUGUUGAAAGAUUAUGAGUCAGCGAUUGAUUAUCAAUCUGGACAAAUGAUUAUAGUCUUUGGGGUUCUGAGCGAGAAUCUUUAUGUGUUUUACGGCUGAUAAUCAUGUGAUUAAUCUUAUCAAAUAAUGAGUAGUUAUUGGCUGAGCUAGAAACUAAAUUGAUGUUUAAUUAGCAAAUUUGUGAGGUUAAGAAGUGUGUCAGUGAAUUACAAGUUAAAAAGGGUACAACGUAAAUUGAUUUCUGAUUUAAAAUUUCAGAUUGGAACCUACAAUUGUUAUUAUGUCGAGAUAGAGUUCAUGUAUUGAGAAAUCCAGAGAUUUUACAACAAUUGUGACAUCUAGCACAGUGGUAAUUAUCUGUCCGUACGGGGAGUACUAAAAGAGUGCUAGUUUUCAUUGUUCAAAUGGAGACACGAGGAUUGUAUCGUGUUACUAAAAUAAACUACUAUGAGCUUUGGGUAUGGUAUUACUUUGUAACACUGUGUUCUAGAACUUGAAAGCAAACGAGAAAGACAUUUAUUGUUGGUUAAGUUAGCAUAUAAUAAUAUUAGUUAUGAGAUGAAUGUUAAGAUAGCAUUGUAUGAGUGUGGUAUGGUUGCAAUUACUGAACUUCGUUGUAUUGAAUUGAAUUUUUAUAAAAAGAAUUUCGAGGUCGAUGUGAUUGGAAAGACUGAAGGGAAAUGAAAGUAAUUCAUGACCGUCUAAAAACAGUUUCAGAUUUGCAGAAAAUAUAUGUGGGCUUGAUGCGUAAAAGCAUUGAAUUUUCAAUUAGAAAAUUGAGUAUUUGUAAAGGUAUUAUAGUAGGAAUAGAAUUUCUAGAUUUAGCUAUAAAGAGAAGUUGAGUUCGCAGUUCAUCGGAUCGAAUGAGAUUAUUAUCAAAACUUGAGAAGACCCGUUAUGUGUUUUUUAUAUAUAUGAUGUGAUGAUACAAAUAAGAUCCUUUAUCUAUAGUAUCUCUUACAGAAGUAGAAACUCAGCUUGUUAUGAUGUAUAGCAAAGAGCAGAUCAUAAUCUUAGCUCAUGAGAUUGAAAAUUUGAGAAAUCUGAGGCUAGGUAAGAAAUUGUUGAGGUUGGAGAAAGAAAAUCACUAAUUUAUUCUCUGGCAAGAUUUUCGGGGACGAAAAUCCCUAAGGGGGGAGAGUUGUAACAGCCUGUUUUUUAGGGUUGAUCGGAACAGUGGUUUUGGGGCCACCAAAUCCGAACGAGUAGGUUGGUAAAUAUUAUAUUUAAUAUUUACGAGUUAAUUGUGAUUUUAAAAAUGUUUUUGAUAUUGUGAUUUUUGUUUUAUAAGCGAUUUAUUAAGUUCAAGUGGUAUGACCCUAAGGUCAACUGGGUUUAGAAAAUAAGGUAUCGGGACCUUGUUUCUAUAAACCGAGUCGUAAAUAUUUUUAUAAAUAUUUACAUAGUGGCAAUAAGAUGGUAUUAAAGUUUCGGUGAAAAAUUUUAUCGUUUCGAUAGUUAAUUAAACAAAAAGGACUAAAUUGUGUAAAGUGCAAAAAUUGUGUUCUAUAACCUAAAGCUAUUAAAUAGAUAUAGAACUUAAAAGUAGAAGUCCUUAUUUGGUAAUUAGCCUAUUAAAGAGAUAGUGGGAUAUGAUGGCUUGGCAUUUGGUGUAAUAAAUAAAGUGUAUAAAGGUUAAUAUUGUAAAUUGGUUAAAAAUAAUAAUAAAAUGAAUAUAAUAAAAGAAUCAAGGUGUCAUCUUUUUCAUUCUCUUUUUACCAGCCGAAUAUGAAGGCUUGAGAAGCCAUGGAAGAAGCUUCCAACUUUCAGCUAAUGCAUGGUAGGCAUUUCUAGUCCCGUUUUUAAUUAUUUUUAUAUUUUCGGGAUCGUUGUUGCUUAAUUUAUCUAAUGAGGGGACUAUUUUGCAAAACCAUUGAGUAGUUUGAUAUUUUCCAUUGAUGAGUAUAAUAGGGCUUUGAAGUUUAAUGGAAGAAUAUGAGUCCUUGUUGAUAGUUAAACACUUUUUGUUAAGUGAAUUUUUGUGAAAUUGACAAUUAAGGGCUAAAUUGAUAAAUGUGAAAACUUUGUGGUUAAAAUGUCAAAUAAAUGAAAUGUGUGGGCUGCUAGAGACACUAGUGAUAUUCGUCUAUAGUAGAAUUUUACUCAAUUUCAUGAAUUUUCAUUUUUAUGAUAUAGGGACUAAAUUGUAAAGAAGUUGAAAUAUUAGGGGCAAAACUAUAAUUUUUCCAUAAAGUGAAUUAUGGACUGUUUUGAUACCAUGAACAUUUGGCUAAGCUUAACUAUGGUUAAAAAUGGUUAAUUUGCAUGUUUUGAGCUCAGGGACUAAAAUGAAUAAAAGUAAAACUUUAGGGGUUAUUUUGUAAAAAUGACAAAAAUGACCAAAUUGUAUGAAAUGAGGUGUUUUAAUGUCUAAAUUAAUAUACUGAAUGAAAUUAUUAAUUUAGAUCAAGGUCGGGUGGAAAAUCGAGCAAAAUGAGAAAAUUACCAAAAUACCCCUGAACUUUGGUAUCUCUACAAUUUAGCCAGGUAAGUUCGUAUGCAAUAAGCAUUGUUAAAUUGAUGUUUCUAAUGCUUUAAUAUUGUAUAAAUUGUAUAUACGUGAAUAUUUUAAUAUCUGACGACAUAUCGACAAAAUGUGGCACUUAGUGUGCGGGGCAAUCAAAUAUGGUACUCAGUGUACGAAAUAUUGAGAAUGGCACUUAGUGUGCGAGAUAUUGAAAAUGACACUUAGUGUGCAAAAUAUCGAAUGAUUCAAAGGGAAAUUAUAAAUUGUGAUUGAAUGAUUAAAUAGAACAAAGUGAACAGGUAUACAUGCUAUAUUAUAUGAAUUGUUUAUGAGACGACUUUAUAAUGGUGAUAUUUGGGCUUUGAGCCUAGCAAGCUUUAAGCUGGUGAAUAAUAUUAUCGGGUUUAAAACCUAGCAGGCUAAAUGCCGGUGAUUUGAUAAAAGUCUAAGACUAUGAGACCUUGUGUUAAAUCGACAAUUGAAUUUGUUCAAUGCAUUAAGUUGGCCAGGUAUGUGAUAUAUUCUUAUGCAUGUUAGAUCGAUUGGAAUUGAAUCAUGAAUGUGAAAUGAGAAGCAUAGGUCAAAAUGCCUAUGUCAUAUAUGUGAGUAAGGGCAAAACCAUCGUAAAUUAUCGAUAAGGGUGGACUAUGUGCGGAAUCAUCUUAUAAUUGCUAAUUUGAACGAUUGUGUGCGAAUCAUUGAGCAUGAUGUAUUGUAUUGAGAUUAUGCUUGAGUGAAAUUAUAGAUAUGUGAUGAAAUUGAUUGGUAAUAUACAUGUUUAAAUAAUGUGAAUGCAAAGAAUGUGUGAAAGAGUAAAUUUGUAAUAAAUCUGCUUGGGACAGCAGCAGUAACGUGAUUUUGGAAAAUCACCAUAAAUUGUUGGAGUUGAGUUAGAAGCUGAAUAAAUUAUAUAAUUAAAGCUUAAUGAAUCUAGUUUCUUAUAAAAGAAACCAUGUAAGCAAAAGAAUUGCUGAUAAUGAGAUAUUUGAAGUGGCGUGGGAUAGAGUCAAAUGACUUCGGGGUCCCCUAUUCUGUUUUAUAAAAUCAUUAUAAUUUGUACAAAAAUGGUUAUAAGAUAAAAAUUUAUAUGCUUAGACUCCUUAAUGAGUCUAGUUUCAAAUGAAAUCAAAUAGAACAUAUUUUUAAUUCUGUACAAUGAGAAAUUUGAUUCGUAGUGAAGAGUUGUCAGAUUAGUCAAACAGUGAAACAGGGGAAACUUUAAGAAAAAUCUGGUAUUGAUUGGCCAAACCUAAAAUUCUGAAAAUUUUAUGGAUGGAAGAUAUAUGAGUCUAUUUUUAUAUAAAAUUAACAGCAAUUGAUUUGGAGUUUUUUAGCUUCAGUUAUAAACAAUUUAGUUACUAUUGCUCAGGAAGACAACUUGUAGUGAAUUUGUGAUUAUGUUGUAAACAUUGAUAAAACUUGUUAAUGAGUUGCUUAUUGUUUUCUUAUGAACUUACUAAGCGUAAAGCUUACUCCCCUUUUUUUUCCCAUAUUCCGUAGGGUUGCCAGGUUAGCUCGGGUUGGAGGCCGUCAGAGAUAUUAUCACAUUGUCAAGUCUACGCUAUCGGCGUAAGUAAAUCUUAGUGUUUCGAGUCUAUGGCAUGUAUAGGGUUGUAAAGUUGAGUAAGUAAAUGAUACAAGACUAAGAUAUUGGUAAAUAUUUAAUAAUGCCUCAUGAAUAUUUUGGGCCUUGUAAGCCCGAUUAAAGGAUAAUAUACGUGUGUAUGAAAAGUUUAAAAUUGAUCAAAAAUUUUUACGGUCUAGUUUUAUAUAAAUGGAUGAGUUUAAAUCUGGUAGCACCUCGAAACCUGUUUCGACGAGGGAUACGGGCGAAGGGUGUUACAGACAUGAUCCUUUAUACUCUCGAAAACAUGAUAAAUUUUGACUUCCAGAAGUUUAUAUGUCAAAAAUUACAAAAGGAUGCCCAAUAUUUUAGUCCAACGAAAAAAUCGAAACCUAGCACAGUAAGGCAUGAUUUCUCGAAUUUCUAGACAUUGAACAUUGCCUUAUUUUAGAAUUUAGAAAGCAUGAGUGAAAUUCUAAAGGAAUAAUCGAUUAUUUUGAACAAACAAGAAAUUGCAACCCAGCACGAUAGGGCACGAUUCCCCGAAUUGCCAAACAUAGGGCGUUGCCUUCAUUUUAAAUAAUUUUUAAAGACAUGAAUGAAAUUCCAAAAGGUUCAUUCGAUUAUUUAGAGCAAACGAGAAAUUGCAACCCAGCACGAUAGGGCACGAUUUCGUGAAUUGUCAAAUAUCGGGCAUCGCCUUCGUUUUAAAGAAUUUUUAAAUGAAUAAUUAUAAAACUAGCUUAAAACGCAUUAGUUCGACUUGAAAUAUGAUGGAAUAAUUAAUUAGAAUUUUACAAAAAAGAAGUUGAAAAUCAUAAUGCGACAUUUGUAGACUAAAGGGAAAAUAGAACUUGGGGUAAUAUGCACACAUAAAAUACAAUACCAAUUAACAAACUUAUAACUAAGCAUAACUGAUCAAGAAAAUAUAAUCAAACUCGCAAGCGUGGUUGACAAACAAUAAGAAAUAAAACAAUAGAUAAAUGAUAUACGACAAUAGUAAACAUGGCACAAUAUAAGUCAAUCAACAAAUCAUAUACAAAACAAAAUGGAGUUUAGAGGUCGAUAUGGUAUAAGACAAUUUCAAAAUAGAUGGAUGAACACAUAAUAUAUGAUAUAUAAGCGGAUGAAUUGAUAAAUUAGAAACCAUUAAUUGUAAGAACAAACUAAAUAUAUAUAUGCAAUUAUUAGAAAGCGUAUCAUAGAAUGAACAUUUUUAAAAUCAAGAAAUAUACAAAGGAAAAAAUGUUUAUUGAAAUAUGCACAUGAAAAUUUAAGUAAUGUAUAGGAUAUUCAAAAAUAACAAAAAUACAUUGUAAAAUAUAACUUUAAGAAAUGCAUGCAAUAGGUUUAUAAAAACAUAUAUAUGUAUAAAUAGAUUUAGAAAUAGCUAUUUGCAAAAAGAACAUACACUUAAUAAUGCAUUUAAGAUUAAAUUAACUUCAUUAUAAGCUAUACAUAAAAAAACUUAAGAACAUACUUACAUAUAUAAAGGAAACUAUAGGUAUAAAGUACAUGGAUUUAGUAAUGUAUAUAGAUUAAACAUAGACAUCAAUAAACAUAUAUACAUAUAAUAAUAAUUUAAAAGAUAUAUCAUGUAGGAUUAUGUAAUAUAAUAUGUAACACCCCAACCCGGCCCAGACGUUAGACCGAAUUCAGCGUGUCACAUUGCAGUGUUUUUCGAAAACCAUGUUUUCAUUGAAAACCCUUCUUGAUGUAAAACUCAUUGGAGCAUUAUUGUAAAACUCAUGUUUUAAUUAAAAAUCUUUGAGAAGAAUAUUUUCGUUGUAGAUUAAAGUGAAUGGAAGCUGUGCACCAGGUAGGAAGCCAGAAAAGAGGAGGUGAGUCUAUUGGACUGCUUAAGUACCAAGCUCUUCAUGGAUCCAAUCCUAGACAUGCACACAUCCAUUGCCACACUUAAAGCAUAUUACUUGUCCACGAACAACAAAUUAAGUUUAAGUCCAUUUAAAAUAUUUAUUUCCUUUGAAAACAUUUACGUUGCGGAAGCUUUGCUCGGUAAUCGUGAUAUUUUGAAAAUAAUUAACUUUUAUAAAACGCGCCCUAGAGCUAACCAAUUUAAUAACCCAAAAUAUUAAAAAUAAUAAAAAGAGCAGCCUUAUUACAAAUUAAACCAGAAUAAAAAUAAUCAAAAUAAUAAAUGCGAAACUUAUUUUAAAGAAAACAGAAACUUAAUCUUCGUGGCCACUCUGAAUCCCGCCCAGCUCCAAGUCCACCAACUAGGGCUCACCUGCAAGGAUGGAAGAGAAAGGGGGUGAGUUUGGAAAACUUAGUGUGUAAAGUAUCCCAACCAGAGCCCAAAUCAGUUCAAGUUUUACUGGGCCUAAGCCCUAUUCAGAAAUCAGUGUUAACUGGGCCUUAGCCCAUAUCAAUAUUAAUCUGGGCCAUAGCCCCUUACAGUAUCAGAGUAUAUUGGGCCUAGCCCAUAUCAGUAUCAAUCUGGGCUUAGCCCUAUUACAAGUCGAGAUAUAUUGGGCCUUGGCCAUAUUAACACAGUUGGGCCCAUUUCAAUACAGUUGGCCCAUAACAAAACAGCCUCAUAUGAUUAAUGCAUGAUAACCCGAUCCAACCCUGCACUUGCCUCCGUCCAUCCCUACACUUCCUGUGGGGAAUAAAUCACCCACGCCAUCCCUACACUUACAGUGUUAGCACCGGUUGCGGCACUAACUAUAAUCCGCAGCAAAGCUGCUUAUAUCUGAAUAUGUGGCACAGCCACCAGAACGGGUUCUUCCUCCAUAACAUAACCCAGAUCCCAUGCAACAGAUAUACAUGUCAUGGCAUACAACAAACAGAAUCAGAAUAGCAUGCAUUUCAGUCAAAAUUAACCCUAGGGGUAUAACGGUCAUUUUGCACCUAGGGGUAAAAUGGUAAUUUUCAUACUUAGGGGUAUUUUAGUAAAAUUCACUAUUUUAGGGUUUACAUACAUCCUACAACCGUUAACGCAUCAACAGAAACACUUACCGAGCGUCUUUACUAAAUUGGGCCCGUUGGCCCAUUAACCCGUUUUCAGCCCAUUAAGCCCAAAUAUACUGAAGUGCACGAAAUUGCGCACUCUGCAAUCAUACCGCUUUAGAUUACCAAAACUAACAAACAACCAUCUCACGAGCGCUCGCACGCUCGCAAGUUCACAAAAUGCUGGCUUUCCGGCAUUUCGGCUUUUGCCGAUCUAGUCUAUGAGUGGGUGUCGUUUACACACCUGUUUUUCGACGAAACGUUGAUGAGUUCCACACACGAGUUUCCUACAAUCAGUUACUAACACGUUAAACUAUGAAUCCAUAACAACUUAACACAUCAAACCCUUACCAUAUUUGGCCCUUAACACCUUAGGCACUAAAGUUCAUACCUUUGCCGAAAAAAUAGAAUAGAUCUAAUUCUGGUCGUUCCAAAUAUCCAAGCCCUCGAUUAGUAGCCUUUAAUCCACACAAGAGCAAAACAAAUCAAAAAAUACCACUAAACCCUUUUAGUUUAGUCGACAGGCACCCUUUGCAUAUAGGGGUUUUCGGCUUUUCUUUAAAUCCCGAAAUAAAGAAUGGAAAUAAGAUUCCGAGUACUUACCACCAAUGAUGUACUUGUCAAGAGCGUUUCAAACACUUCCCCAAUCUCAGAUCUACAGUGAAUCCAAUCUUAGAAUGCGAAUAAAGAAUAGAAAAAUAUGAGGCUUUUCAGCUUUUGGAUCUAGCCUAGAAUAUGGCUAUUGCGAUCUAAAAGAAAAAAAUAAGUGACGAUAAGUUCAGCAUCAAAGAGACAAUCAGUAGAGGAACAGAUGUAAGAUUAGAGGUUCGGUCUUUUGAAAGAUUAAAAGGAAAGGAGAUAUGGUUUCAACCAAAGGAGUAAUCAGCAACCAAUAUUUGAGAAGAAAAAGUUGUUUUAAAAAGAAUUUGGCUUCGAGGAAAAAAAAUAGAAAAUGAGAGAAUUGUUCAGCUUUUGAGAAAAAUAGAAAAGAAUAUGAGCAAAAGAAAUAAGAUAAAAUUAGAAUAAAAUAAAGUCCUUUUCCAAUUUUAAUUCCUUCCUUAGCUCCCUAAUUCCUGGCCAAAUUCAAAGUUUGGAUUUAAUUCAAACUCUCCACUGCUUAGCAGCAGUCCACCGCUCCGACUCCUGUUGCUGGUAGAGUUUCAAUCCCGUACGGUCCUUCCCACACUCGUACAGCAAAAAGAAGCACCCUCUUGCGCGUAACACUGCUUAAACCUGGAACCUCCAGGUUGCCCAACACGAUGCUGACCACUGGGACGCACAUUUGCUUUCAAUAGUAUACCGUCACAUUUUAUAUUAAACGUUACCUCCUGAAGUCCCGCUCAUUUUAAAAAUAUAAAAUUAAGACAUACCUGCGCCAAGACUCGAACCCGUGCCCCUAUGGAACUCCUAGCACCCUACUGCCACUGCGCUAUAAACUCUUUUUGAUUAACUUAUACUUGCAAUUUCUCUUAACCCUUAUUCUAGCCGCGAUCUGCAUAUUAAAAAAAAUCCCCAAAUUGCGCACGCCACAACCUUGAACCCAAGCACCUCCCAUGCCUUCCUAGCGUGCUUAGCCACUGGGCCAAGUGCUCCGUUAUGCUAAAACGCAGCCCAAAUUAUUAUUAAGGCCUACUGCCCAGAUUCCCUAAGGUAGCAUAAAAUUAAAAUUUUUCUAGUCUUAAACACCAAAACAACAAUACUUUUAUAAAUAUAUAUAUAUUUUAUUUUUUUCCCUAUCUAAUAAUAAUAAUUAUAAUAAUAAUUUUAUAAAUAUAUCUAAUAAUAAAAAUUUCAAAUAUCAAUAAUACAGUAAAUAAUAAUAAAAAUUUUUCAAACAUAUAUGCAGUAAUAUUUUUCUAAUAAUAAUAAUUUUAUCUCAUAAUACUAAUUAAAUUUUCGUAAAAAUUUAAAAUAUCCGUAAUAAUAAAUACAGUAAAAAUUUUCUAGUAGUAAUUUAAUUCAAAAUUGUUUUCUUAAACGAUAAUAUUUAAAACUUUUUAAUUAUUCAGGUUUUCUUCUAUCCGAAUCCCAGACUCAAGGCCCAAUUCUUUCUAGGCCCAAUUUUUGGGGUGUUACAUAAUAUGAGAAUAAAUUUAAAAGAAAUCAUAUGUAAGUAUUUUAAACACAAAUUUAUUUUAAAAAAAUUGACAAUGUACAUGAAAAUCUUAAAUAAUAAAUAAAAUAUGAAAGAAUAAUAGAAAUACACAAUGAGAUAUAAUACACAUAAUAGAUUUACAAAAUAUAUGCUAGAAUUUAAAAUAAUUUACAUGUAUAAAAAAACCUCAAAUAUAAAAAUGAUUUUUAAAAUAUAUUGUAAAAGAAGAAAUUUGAAUCAAAUAACAUCCAAAAUAUUUUUAAAAUGGAAUAUCAAAGUUGAUCAUAUAUAUAUAAUAAAGAAAGUUAAAAAAAGCAUAUUAGAUAUGAAAGGUUUGUAAAUAACAAAAGAAAAAGUACGAUAAAACAUAUUUUAUAUACAUAGGGUUUUAACUUAUAUACAAAUAGAUUCAAAAGGAAUUAUGUAUGUGAAAUAACAUGGAACUAAUAAGAUAUAUAGAAUAAAAAUCCAACUUUAUCAUGAACUACAUGUAUUUAAUAGUAUAUAAAAACAUUUAAAGGAUAUAUUAUACAAAAAAAACAUUUUAAAAUAACAUGAUAAAAAAUUUGAAAUAAAGAUCUUAUGUCAAGAAGGCAAAAUCAUCCUAAAAACUCAAAAAAAAGUAUACAUUUAUAAAGAAAAUCGAGCGAAUAAUAAAAAAAGUAUACAUUUAUAAAGAAAUAAAUAAGCAAACAAGAUGCAAUUGAGCAUCUGCGCAAAGGGGAGGGACCUGGGGUGCAAUUAGCCCUUUCAAACAAAGAAACAUGGACCCGGCCUAUCCAUCAGGUCAACAUGCGGAUCCCUCUCCCUUUGAAACAAUGCCGUUUCACUUUCCAUCAAAAACCUAAUAACAAAUGAACUCUACCAUUUUUUACUAAAAUUUAUACCAAACCUCCCCUUUUUCCUAUUCUCCACCUUGACCGACUCUUGGGCUUCACCGACGCAUAACACGCCUCCACCACCGCCGAGGUUUUUCACCGGAUCCGCAAGGAUUCGUCGACUUUAGACCGGAGAAGAGGGCGUUGGCUAGAUCGACACCAAGCAACAGAUAAGCAAACCCUAUUCUUUUUCUUUAGUGUAUUUGUAAGAUAAAAAAAUGAAAUAGUCUAAUAAGGACUAAGAAUCAGUGAACCAACCAACUUUGGAAAUGAACUCGAUUCUCCUGCUUUAUGAAUCUUUUUCAUUUUUUGUAUUCAUUCUUUGCAUCUCUAUUGCGUUUUUUUUGUGUAAUUUUUGUUCGUGUGUAAAAAAGGUGCCCCUUUUACAAUAAAAAAUCAAAGGCUUUAUAGCCGAAUAACCAAAAAAAACAACAAUUUUUUUCCUCUGCUUUCGAAUUGACUUGUUACUACUUUUGUUUGUUUUCUUUUGCAGGUACGGAGCACGGGGCUGUGCGUUGGAGUGUGUACGGGAGCUGGCACGUCAUACGGUGCGAGGGCAGUGUUGCUGGAGCAGAGGCGUUGUCCAGUUCUUGGCUGCGGAGCAAAAUGAAGGGGGUGACCUAGGGUUUCUAAAGCUGUCAAGGAGAUGGGCUUAUUGGGCUUGUUUUGAUUUGGGCUCGUCAUGGGUAUCGGGUCUGGGUUUAAUUGGGCUAUUUGUAAUAGUUUUGGACUAUUAUAAGAUUUAAAUUUUGGUCUUGUAUUUGGGUUAAUAUCGGACUUUUAUUAUUGGGUUUUUAUUUUUUGUUUUUUUGGUUUGUUUGUAAUGGGCCGGGCAAAUUUGGCCCACUACAUAUGGCAUGUAUAGUCUAGUAUUUUUGUUGGUUGGAUUUGAGUUGUACUUAUGGAAGCCAUGCGAAAAUGGCUAAAUAUGAUGUUUAAACUUAAGUAAAUUAUGGUUGAUUUCAUAAUUAAGUAAUGCUAUAAUAUAUAAAUAUAUAUGUGAUGGAAUUAAUUUAGUAUUCUUGGUAUAUGCGAAUGAAUUCAUGGUCUGUUGGUAUGGUUAGAUUAUGGAUAUAUCAUGCAUAAGAGUGGAUUGUUGAUAUGAAAUUAUUAAAGAUGUAUGCCGUUGACUAUAGUAUAAAUUGGGCAUUUGAUAUUGAUUAGUUGAUAAUUGUUUCUAGAAGAAAUAAUUUGUUUGUGUACUUGGAAGAUUUUUUAUAUGAGAUGAAUUUUGGUCGGCUUAUGGGUUUAGUUAUAUGUGAGAUUUUAUGCACGUUUUAUGAAUGAGAAAGUUGCUAAUGGAUCUUUAUUAAGUAUAAUUAAAUUCAGCUUUGGUUGAUAAAAUGAAUAAAUG
This 50399-nucleotide long non-coding RNA is filed under the name Gossypium barbadense (sea-island cotton). RNAcentral describes it as "long non-coding RNA (GBAR_LNC011336)". The record is from RNAcentral. Lineage: Eukaryota; Viridiplantae; Streptophyta; Magnoliopsida; Malvales; Malvaceae.